UAUUUUUGUGUUGAAUGAAUCUCUUUUCACGAUGCAUGAAUCUUUUUCUGUGAUGCAUGAAUCUCUUUUCGCGAUGUUUGCUCCUUUGAGAACCACAACAAAUGUUGACUUUCUGUGAUGCAUGAAGAUACAGAUGAUGCCUCACCAGUACCGAACGAAGAUAAUGUUUCACCGAGCAAUGUAGGUGAUCUUCUGGGUGGAGGUAUCAUCUCAUUCGACAAUACAAUAUAAAUAACCCUCAGGGUAAGAAUAUUAUCAUAUCUGAUAAUAUGAUGCAGAUAAACGUCUUCUAGAUAUCUUCAGUUGCUAGAAAACAAUAAUAUUGCUUUCUUCUAGGUUUUCAUUUGUUCCAUUUCCGAACAUAGUUGCAUGCUCAUUAUGGAUCUCACCUUGCUGAGAAUUUGAUUGAAAUAAUGCUACUGAUAUUCUCAAUUCUUCGAUAUAAAAAGCAUAAACUUUUUCUGAUCGAUAGAAAAAUUGUUAGUUUAAAGUGAACUGAUCUGUGUCGAUCUCUUCGAUUGCCUGCUCCUUGUCUUGCUAUCUCCGGUUGAUUUCUCCAAUCUCCCACUUCUUUAUAGAUAAGACCAAACGCUUUUACGGAAAAAUAAUUGAAACAUGAAAGAAAAGUUUUGAGGAAAAUAGAUUUUCAAAUGUAAUAUUUGGAAAAAGUCACUGUCAAGUGUCAUGUCACGUCAAGCUUAAUGAACGUCUUUGAAGUUGAUGCUUCGAGGUACAUCUGUUUACUCACUAGAAAGUAUUCAAAGUUCUUAUAAACUUCCGAUGAACCUUAUUGAAAUUUUUGAGGCCAUCCUAAAAAAUUUCUGUCCCAGUUAAUUUCUUCUCGAGAAUUUUUGAGCCCCUCUAAAAAAUUCUAUCCCAGUUUCUAUUGUAAAGAAAAAUAGAAAUCUUACGGGAGAUAUGACUGAGCCGUUGUGGCACCUAUGUAUCCCGUUGAGGCAGGAAUCAGGUCAAACGUAGUUCCCCCUCAAAUAUUAACAGAAAUAGGAAAUUUAAACAAGGAACCGACCGAGGCCGACAUAAGCUGCCUGCGUAUCUCAUUCUUGAGAAUUCAGGUCGAACGUAGUUCAGGUACAAGGAAAAUAUUAAAAGGGGAUAAAGGGGUGACCGAGGCCGACAUAGGCCGCCUACGUAUCUCGUUCUUGAGAAUUUAGGUCAUACAUAGUUCAGUAUAAAGGGAUAGAUUCUAAACUAAGCAAUUACAAGCAAAUAGAACAAUUAGAAGGAAAUAACAGAAAUACAAACUGAAGUUUCAUAUAUAAUAUCUUUUGAUAUCAUCUGAGUUGAUCGGUUUGGGCCACUCGGUGCCAUCCAUCUCCGACAGGAUCACGACACCUCUAGAUAACACUUUGCGAACUAUGUAGGUCCUUGCUAAUUUGAUGCGGAUUUCCCUUUAUACUCAUCCUGAUGAGGGAAAAUGUGUUUGAGAACUAACUAACCAAUUUUGAACAUCCUGGCUCUUACUUUCUUGUGGAAAGCACGAAUCAUUCUCUAUCGAUACAGUUGACCAUAACAAACAAAAACCAUUCUCUUCUCAUCAAUCAAUGUUAACUGAUCAAUCCACUUGCGAACCCAAUCAACAUCACGCAAUUCAUCUUCUUGGAUGAUUCUCAAUGAAGGUAUUUCAACUUCGGCGGGUAUAACUGCUUCUGUUCCAUAUACUAACAAGUAUGGAGUUGCUCCAAUUGAUGUCCUAACAAUCGUUCCGUUUCCCAACAAAGCAUAUGGCAACAUCUCGUGCCAACCUCGGUGAGUGUCAAUCAUUUUCCUCAAAAUCUUCUUGAUGUUCUUGUUGGCAGCUUCUACAGCUCCAUUCAUUUGGGAACGAUUAUCGGUUGAGUUUCGGUGAGUAAUCUUGAAUUGUUCACAUAUCUCUCUCAUCAAAUGAUUAUUGAGAUUUGAUCAAUUAUCAGUAACGAUGGAUUUCGGUACACCAAACCUACAUAUCAAGUUGUUGCGAACAAAAUCAGCUACAACUUUCUUGGUCACCGACUUCUACAAAGCUGCUUCCACCUACUUGGUGAAGUAGUCAAUGGCAACCAAAAUGAAUUUGUGCCCGUUAGCGGCGGCUGGCUCUAUUGGACUAAUGACAUCCAUGCCCCAAGCUACAAACGGCCAAGGUGAACUCAUAGCAUUGAGUUCGUAAGGCGGGACUCGAAUCAAAUCACCAUGCACUUGACAUUUAUGGAAUUUCUGCACAAACUUGCAACAAUCAUGCUCCAUAGUCAUCCAAAAAUAACCGGCUCGGAGAAUCUUCCUAGCCAAAGUGAGUCCAUUCAUAUGAGUACCACAAACUCUUGCGUGUAUCUAUUCAAGAAGCUUUGCAGCUUCACUAGCAUCAACACAUCUCAUAAGACCUAAAUCUGGAGUCCUUCUAUAAAGGAUUUCCCCACUUGGAAAGAAGUUGUUAGCCAUACGGUGUAUUGAUUUCUUCUGGUUGAACGUUGCCUUCUCAAGAUAUGUUCCGGUCUCCAAAUACUUCUUUAUAUCAAAAUACCAAGGCAAACCAUCUGGUUCCGCUUCAAUAUGUGAACAAUGAACAGGCUGCUCUCUUACCUCUAUAUCCACUGGAUCAAUGUAACUUGUAUCUGGAUGUUUAAUCAUUGAUGCGAUGGUGGCAAGAGCAUCGGCUAACUCAUUUUAUGUCUUGGGAGUGUGUCUGAACUCAAUCUUCCGAAAUCUAUUGCACAACUUCUGUAUGUACUGCACAAACAAUGUGAUCUUUAGGUUCUUCACGGCCCAUUCUCCUUGAACUUGAUGAAUCAACAAAUCUGAAUCUCCAAUAACCAGCAACUCGUGGACGUUCAUGUCAAUUGCCAUCUUCAAACCGAGGAUGCAAGCUUCAUAUUCAACCAUAUUGUUUGUGCAAUCGAAUCAGAGUUUAGCUGCCAUAGGAUAGUGCUGACCAGAUUCUGACACUAAGACUUCUCUGAUACCUUUUCCUUGGUGAUUUGCUGCUCCAUCAAAGAAUACUCUCCAGCCAGGGUAUGCUUCAGAAAUAUCUUCUCCCACAAAUGCAACUUCUUCUUCGGGGAAAUAAGUCUUGAGCGGUUCAUAUUCUUCAUCGACGGGAUUCUCCGCAAGAUGAUCAGCCAAGGCUUGUGCUUUCAUUGCUUUCUGAGUCACAUACACAAUAUCAAACCCACUCAAAAGCAUUUGCCAUUUAGCCAACUUUCCUUUCGGCAUCGCUUUCUGGAAAACAUACUUCAACGGGUCCAUUCUAGAGAUAAGGUGUGUGGUAUAAGAAGACAAAUAAUGUCUAAACUUCUGAGCUAUCCAGGUUAGAGCACAACAUGUCCUCUCCAAAAGAGUGUAGCGGGCCUCAUAUGGAGUGAAUUUCUUGCUCAAGUAGUAGAUGGCCCGCUCAUUUUUCCCUGUUUCGUCAUGUUGACCAAGCACGCAUCCAAAUGUGAUAUCCGAGAUAGAUAAAUAUAGCAACAAAAGACUACCUUCUCAUGGAGGAACCAACAUCGGGGGAUUGGACAAAUAAUUCUUGAUAGCGUCAAAAACAGUUUGACAUUCUCCGGUCCACUUGGUCAGGGCAUAUUUUUUCAAUAACUUGAAAAUGGGCUCACACACCACGGUGGAUUGAGCUAUGANNNNNNNNNNNNNNNNNNNNNNNNNNNNNNNNNNNNNNNNNNNNNNNNNNNNNNNNNNNNNNNNNNNNNNNNNNNNNNNNNNNNNNNNNNNNNNNNNNNNCACACACCACGGUGGAUUGAGCUAUGAACCGGAUGAUAUAGUUCAACCUUCCCAAGAAACUCAUCACUUCUUUCUUUGUCUUCGGAGGAGGUAACUCUUGAAUCGCUUUGAUCUUGGAAGGGUCAAGCUCAAUGCCCCUCCAACUGACUAUAAACCCCAACAGCUUGCCAGCUGGCACUCCAAAAGCACAUUUGGCAGGAUUUAGCUUCAAAUUGUAUCGACGUAAGUGAUGAAAGAAUUUCCUUAAGUGAGUCAGGUAAUUCGAACUCUCGCGGUAUUUGAUUAUGACAUCAUCUACGUACACCUCAAUCUCCUUAUGAAUCAUAUCAUGAAAGAUGGUUGUCAUAGCGCUCAUGUAAGUAGCACCCACAUUUUUUAGACCAAAAGGCAUCACCCGAUAAUGAUAUACACCCCAAGGCGUAAUGAAGGUUGUAUUUUCUGCAUAUUUUUCAUUCAUUAUGAUCUGGUGAUAGCCCGCAUAACAAUCCACAAAUGACUGUAUCUCAUUCUUGGCAUGAUUAUCAAUGAGAAUGUGGAUGUUUGGCAAUGGAAAGUUGUCUUUCGGGUUAGCUUUGUUGAAAUCUCUAUAGUCGACACAAAUUCUGAUAUUUCCAUCUUUCUUGGCAACCAGAACAAUGUUGGCCAACUAAGUCAGAUAUUGCGUCACUUCCACCACUUGGGACUCGAUCUGCUUGGUAAUUUCCUCUUUGAUCUUCAAACUCAACUCUGUCUUGAAUUUUUGGGUUUUCUACUUUAUCGGACUGAAAUCUGGAUUAAUCAUUAAUUUAUGAGACACCAUGUGCGUACUUAGCCCGGGCAUAUCUCUGUAAGACUAGGCAAAUACGUCGAUGUAUUCUCUGAGCAAGCGAACUAGGUCCCUUCUUUGAGCUUCAGUCAGAUGGACGCUGAUUCUUACUUCUUUAACAUAAUCCUCAUCCCUUAGAUUCACAGUCUUAGUUUCUUCUAAAUUUGGCUUGUGUUGACUCUCAAAUUGUCGAAACUCUUCAACAACAUGUUCAGGUACCACAUUUUGUUCUUCAUAAUCCUUACAUUCAUCAUCACCUGUCUCAUUUUAUUCGUUCGACUCAUGACAUGACAUGACAUUGGCAGGUUUUAAAUUAUUAUUACUGUAAUCAUAAACAAACAAAGUUAGAAAAGUAAAAUAUAAACAGAUAAGUAAAUAAACAAAUUUUUGAUAAAAGAGGCUUUUCAUUUAAAUUUAAAAUGGGCACAAACUUUGGCCAUGGCCAAAGGCCAUUCUGCCUUCUUAAACAUCACGAGGGAAAUUUAAAAACUCAAACAAGUAAAACCUGCAUAAAGGGUGGGACUCAGGCCUUUUUCGGACUACCACCGAUUUUAAAAACAAACAUAAACACAUGUCCUUUCUACCCAGAUGAGUUGGGAAUCAGGAGUGGCAUAAAGGUCCAAUUUUGCAACUGCUCCUCUUGUUCAACAUCAUGGAUGCCUGAUGUCCCAGCCUCUCCUUCGACGAUUGCAUCGACUUCCUAAAAAAGGCCCUAGAUCCUUUCCCCAAGGCCACCAUCUUUGACAUAUUCUCGCAACAUGAACGAUUGGUACAAAUGAGGCAUUGGCCUAGCUAAUGCUCGAUCAAUACUCUUGUUCAUCACCUCUGCUUCAUCAUCAUCUGUGGGGAUAUACCCCAAACCAAACUUUGCUCCUCCGGUGGGAAUUUGUAUAAAGCUCAACAAUUCCUUGAAAGCGCUUCCCCAAUCCGAAACCUAGUUUGAAACCACUCAGGAGCAUAACAGUAGUUAUCAUCUUAUACACAGAAGCCAUGGGGAGUUGUGGAGCCAAGUCAUCACCAGUGGCAUUUAUCAGCUCCAUCAUGUAGAAAUCACAACCUCCAGAGACAUCAUCAACGAUUGGCGCAUACCCAUUGACAUGGAUCCCUUCACCAUGAAUGGACAAUUGCUGGUCCUUCCAAAUAAAUUUCAUCAGUUGGUGAAGGGUAGAAGGCACAGCCCCGGCCAUGUGGAUCCAAGGUCUUCCCAGAAGCAAAUUGUAACUGUACUGAUAUCCAACACCUGAAACUCCACAUUAAAUUCUACAGGACCCAUCUGAACAUCCAAGUUCACUGCACCCAACAUGUCUCUUUGCUCUCCAUCGAAAGCCCUCACAUUGACUUGGUUCUGGUGAACCUUUCCCAAGUCGAAGUUUAGCUGCUUGAGAGUCGAAAGUGGGCAAAUGUUGAGACCUGAUCCUUCAUCAACCAAGAUGCGAUUUAUAACCUUGUCUCGGCACAUAAUGGUGACGUUCAGAGCUUUGUUGUGCAUUUUGCCUUCGAAGGGUAAUUCUUCGUCACAGAAACUGAUACGGUGUCCUCGAACGACUUGGCUUAUCAUGGCUACCAGAUUAUCACUGUUAGUAUCCACGGGCACAUAAGUGUCAUCCAAAGCCUCAUGAAAUCUUUCCUAUGCAGCUGUGAACUCAUCAGCAGGGCCUACACAGAAAUCUGAGCUGGUGUUUUCUCCGAAUUCUUCACGAUCGAGAAAUCUUUUAGUUGCAUCUUUCUCCAGAACUCUUCUGCUUCAGGUUCACUUAUUGGCGUUUUAGAUUGAUCCUUCUUCUGCCCUCCCUAGGCUAAAUCUUCUGGUGUAUAACAUCUGUCGGAUCUAGUCAUACCCUGGAUAGCAGCCAUUUCAAUCACAAACCUUGGUCGGGCAGGAGUUUCUCUUGGCACCAAGGCAACAACCUUCUCGGAUGUCAUAAUCACAAAUUCUUUCUUCUCUCUAAUGCACAACGAAGCUACAGCCCUUUCCAGUUCAUCAAGAGCGAUAAAAACUACUGCCUUUGUCACGCACCAAUCAUCAUUUGUCUCUAUCAUAUUGAUAUUGACGCCGCCAUGAUUUGGAAAAGGAUUAAUAUUGACAUUGGGUGCGACUGUCUAGAGAGAGUCCACUUUCUGGUCAAUCAGGUCUUGGAUUUUGUGCUUUAGGUUGAUACAGUCGUCGGUAUUAUGUCCAACACCGUUGGAGUGAUAGGCGCACUUCUGAUUAGGUCUGUAAAACCUUGAGCUAGUGUCAACCGGCUUGGGCCCCACUGGAUGAAUAAAUCAUGCAGCAGUUAAUCGCUCGAAUAGCUUUGUUUGGCUUUCAAUGAGCGGAGUGAAAUUUCUAAAGGGCUUCUUCUCAAACAAAGACGGGGAUAUCGUAGUUUCCUUGUUGAUGAGGAGGCAUUUGAUGAUAAUUUGGAGCGUUUGGACAGGGGGCUUGAUAUCUUGGGUAUGAAUUAGUUUGGUAAUUUAGCUGUGGAGUUUGGUAGUUUGGAGGGGUAUUUUGGUAGUAUGGGGGUGGAGUUUAAUAUACUGGGGGAGGAGUUUGGUAGUUUGUCUGAAUGUUCACACAGUUGGGGGUGGCAUUUCGGUAAUGAGAUGAUGGAACUUGGUAAACUGAAGGGGGAGUUUAGUAGACAGAAAGAGGGGUAUUUUGGUAUUUGGGGUGAGUCGUUUGAUAAUUAGAGGGAGGGGUAUUUUGGUAGUUGGGGGGAGGGGGGAGGGGUAUUUUGGUAACCAACCUGUGCAUAACAAGUCGGGUAUGAACUCUGUGAAGGUCGAGAACGACCUUGGUACGAUGAGGAUUUCCUUGGGGUCUUCUUCCCCUCAUAAGAUAUUGAAGACACGUCUUCUCUUUUCUUUUUCAACAAACCCGAGGAUCCGGGCUAGGUGGCAACACGGUCUUCCCGAUUCUUAAUCUGUCUUUGAUAGUCUCACCUACUUUGACUAUCUCGGUAAACUUUUCUAUAACAAGCAACAUGAUUCGAUCAUAAUACUAGGGCUUUUGAACCCGCACAAAUACUUCAAUAAUUUCUUUCUCAAACAUAGAAGGUCGAACUCUAGUUGCCUCCUUUCUCCAUCUGUAUGCAAAUUCUAUGUAACUUUCAUUCGAUUUUUGCUUCAUCUUUUCUAAGGAAUAACGAUCUGGAACGAUCUCCAUAUUGUAGGCAAAUCGUUCGAUAAAGUCCUUAGCCAGAGCAUUCCAGCUAGGCCAUUGUCUCGUUUCAUGAGAUGUAAACCAUUCCAGGGCCUCUCCACUCAGACUUUGGCUAAAAUGCCGCAUUAAUAAAGCUUCAUCUCUUCCAACUCCCACGAGCUGGUAAUAAAUAGUAGGCCCUCAAGUGCGCUAAGGGAUUCCCCGUUCCUCCGAAAAUAUCAAAUUUGGGCACCUUAAACCCUUCCGGAAGGUCCAGAUUCGGAUGGAUGCACAGAUUCUCAUGGAUUUUUGGAUUUCUUCUUUCAUAUCUAGCUUGGCAGCCUCUUCCUUUGAUCUCCACUCUCUCUCUCGCUCUUCAUAAUGGUCGGGCUCAGAACAGUUGGCGUAGGGUUCAUUUGGGACUAGGAUUUUGAAAGUGGUGUUUUGAGGUAGAGGUGGGGCAAUAGAGGGACUCUUGGCAUUUUGAGGGACUUGGUAGUUUUGAGGGAAAGUCUCAGGGCUGAUAGUCUGAUUUUGGUGAUGGAGGGAGGUUUGCAGGUUGUUAAAAUUUUGGUUUUGGGUGGGAGGACAAGUUUGAGAGUUGGCAUUUUGGGGAGGAAGUGGCGGUUGGGGGUUGGUACUUUGAGGAGGAGGUGGUGUCUGGUAGGAGACAAAGGCAUAAUGGGGAUUUUGGGUGGUUAGGUAUAUGAUUGAGGGAUUUUGAGUAGGACUGGAGGGUUGGUUUUGAGCUUGUUCUGCGUUUGAAGGAGGAAAGUAUAGUUGAGGUCUUCUAUCUCUUGGAGCGUUGAAAGCGAAAGUCAGAUUAGGCAAAUCUUGCCUUCUUUGCAUUUGGGCCCUCAUUUCGGUGAUCUGUUGCAUCAACCGCAUAAUUAAAUUCAUUCUGAUCAACGACAACGGCUGAGCCACGACAACCUUAGUUAGGCCGAUCUCUCCAUUAUUAUCACCCAUUACUGCUUUUUCUUUCUGCAAGCUUUGAUCGGGGAAGGAAUCCUUAGGAGCCUUAGAUCUUGUGAAGUAAGGAUGAUCAGCAAGCUUAUCAACAUAAACCAAUUCUAAGUACCUGUAGAGAUAAACAACUCAAAGGAAAAUUUGUUAGUUUUGAAUCGUGACAAUGUGAUGCAAAAUAUCACAUAGAAGGCAUAUAAACACAUAAAAAUUGCUUCAUUUGAAGACAUGUUAACCCACGGAUAACGGGGACUGGUUUUUGAAUAAGCAGGAAUUUGCUCAUUUUAAUUGAGACUCGUGACCUAAGAAGGUUUAACUACAUUGAGCUACGGUCUUCUUGCUGCAUCUCUCAGCAUCUGUUGAUGUGAAUUCAAUGUUUCCUUGUGGAAUGAAUAGGGGAAAAGAAAUUUUUUUAAAAGAUAGGGGUCGGGCCUUGAAAGGCUGCCUACGUAUCUCCAAAGGAGAAUUCAGGCACUACGUAGUCCGAAUACAAAAGGAAUUUGGUUUUCAUUCAUUCAUUUUUUUAUUACAAGGAAAUUGAAAACAUGCGAUAAAACUCCUAAAACAUAGAUUGUUCCUUUAUCAAGGCUUAUUCUUCUGACUAGUCAAAGCAUUCUAGCUCCAUAUCAUAGUGGAACCCAAGGCACAUUCCAAUGCUGUGAUCUAUGACGUCAUGAUAAAGGCAAGGUUUCCAGAUUUCAAUUCCAAAGGGAUCGACUGUUCUAUCAUCCCUUUUAAUAAGGGUCAAGAUCCCCAUUUGAACCAACUGAUAAUAGAUAUCCCACCAUGUUCUCCUAAUGUCCUCCAAGGUCUUGUUCUGGACCAAGUCGAUAUAAUUAUGCAUGAAGUUAUAAGUGUACCCCAAAACAACAUUUAUGUUCUCACUUUUGCACUUCACCUUCUUGCCCCGGACUAUCACAGAGUCAACUGGUUUGAAGGUCUUGGCCUUCUUCUUCCCUUUUGGCACCAGGUCUCCAUAGGCCGAAUAGAACUCCCAGACCCAAUUGGGAAUAUAGGUGCCCUAGGUUAUGGAACUUGAGAGUGUUCCAUAUCUCUGGAUACAUGUCCACUACUCCGUCUGUGGACAAUAUUUUCUCCUCUAGAAUAGCCCUCAAACCUUCGGCAUUUAGUUGAUUGAGUGAUCGGGAAUGAGGACCCUGUACUGGUGGCGCCGGGAUCACCAUUUGUGUUGGAGCUGCAGCUGGAGGAGGAGGAGUCUGAGCUACCGGGAUCCUAGACGGAUCAUGCGUCGCCUUGGAGCGAAGCUCUGCUUUACAAGCUUGCAACAACUGAUCAUCCUCAGGCUCAGAGAUAGAAGCCUGAGAAUCAUGUGACUCCCCCUCGGUGUCAGAUGAGGUGAGGCGAGUCUCGUAGACACCCUCACUGCCGGAGAUGGCCUCCGGUGUCUCGGCCACGGGAGCCUUGACCUUGCCUUUGCCUUUUCCUUCUUUGGUAGGGAGUUUGGCUGCCUUUGCUCUAGAUGCAGUUGCAUCCUUAUCUAUAACCACUCCACAUGGCCGCUUGCGGGGCGGCAUGUCACUUUCGGACACUUUAGGUCUAGCAAUUUCUGCAAAACAUCAUGAAAAACGUUAGAAACAGUUUCAGAAAAGUGUAGAAAAAAAGUUGCAGAAAGACUCACCGAAUCGUUCGGCGAGUCGCCGAAUCACUUUGGCGAGCCAGAUUGGGCUCGCCGAAAGUUACAAAGCAAAAAUAUCAAAAAUUCAAAGCAGGUUGGCGAUGGCCAAGGCCAUUCGGCAGAUCGCUGACACCAAUCAGUGAGCUAGAAGUAGCUCAACGAAAGUUACAGUGUAUUUUAGGGAUUUAGGGGCACAGAAGGGCGAUCAAGAAGGACUUUCAGCGAGUCACCGAGUGAACUCAGUGAGCUCAGGCUUAUCGCUGAAAGUUACAGAAUAAAACUCACUAAUUUAAGGAAAUUUAGGGUGAUCUAGGGGGACUUAGGCGAACCGCCGAACCAUUCGGCGAGCUUGAUUCAGCUCACCAAACGGUCCAACGUGCUAGUUUUGACCCCACUUCUUCAAAAUCAAGCAUGCAGCCCCCAAAAAUAAAAUUAAACACCUACACUAUGAUAUUAAGGUAAGACCCACACUGCCCAUGCCCUCGGGGUACUCAUACUUCCCCGAUUUUGCCAAAAUUGGCCAUUUGACUCUUUUUGCCCUUAAGAAUGACGUCAGUCGUCCAUCAAUGGGUAAAAUCUGACAUUUAGCGCAAUCCGAGGUUACUUAAACUUCACCCCACUAGACCCAACACAUUUUUAACACAACCCACAAAUUAAAAAUGAUUUUAAACAAGCACAACACGGGAUUCACGAUUAAAAUCCGAUUAAAACUUAUUUCAAUUCAAAUUAGGCAAACAAACGAUCACAGAAUGAUUACCAAACACUUUUCAACAACAAAAAUUACUGAUUUGCAUUCAAGUUCAACCACAUAUGGAGUUUGGGGUUCAGAAAACCAACCUUUAUGACGAAAACGAGAUUUGUAAAGCUAGGCGACAAAGUAAAAUUUGAAUUUCGUCCCCAAGAAAAGAUUUCACAAGAUACGAAAGUAAAAACACAAAAAUACGAAAGAUCUAAAAUAGGGUGUGAGGGUACGGGAGUUAAAAUGGGAGAAGAUGAAGGAUUUUGAAAUUUUAAACCGUUUUUCCUUUAAAACCUUUCAGUUUGUACUCCAUUCGGCAAUAUAAGUCGCGCCCACUGAACCCCUCAGCAAUGCGCUGAGUAGUCAUUUAGCUCGCCGAGUUUUACAGAAUUCUCAGCAAUUUGGAGGGUCCAAGCAGCGGACAAAUUCGAGCUCGCCGACCUGUUCGGCGAGUCGCUGAAUGAGCCUUUGGCUCGCCAAGUUUUACAGAGUUCCCCAUCAAGCUGGGUGGUUCCAGCGGCGGUCCAAGUCGGGGCUCGCCGACCUCUUCGGCGAGUCGCCGACUGGACUCUUGGCUCUCCAAAUUACUCAUUUUCUAACACUUUUCACUUUUCAACCUGUAAAACCAAUACCUGUUAUUCAGAAACAAAACUAAAGCAUCAAAAACUUGAGUUAUCCCCCAAGAAACGCCUUAUUUAACGUCGUGGCACGACGUGGAUACACUUUCAAGGAUCAUUAUUUGAGUUUGCCAAGGUAUCACUUGGUAGGCCCCAUUUUGGCCUUGGGUUCAAAUUAGAUGAAAUUUGACCCAUAUACGUUUCCAAUUUCUUUAUGGACACCGAGUGUGAGGUGACCGUCUGAUUGAGAGCUGACAUCUCUAUUCCAACCUAGAUUUCCACCCUGCCUUAGAUAGUUCGGACAAAAUCCUCCUCUUUGAUUAGCUAGGAAGUUCACCUCCUCAUUGUAAAGCGAUUCGAAGUGUGCUUCUUCGAAGUUUGCUCCACCAACUCCCAUAACAUUUACACUCUUCAAACCACUACCUAUCACAUUUUUCGCCAAGAUAUCCAGUUGGGUCAUCAUUUUGGCCAUGUUUUGGUCUCUCUCUUGAUCCUUUUCAAUCUGUUUUUCGUCAUCCUAAAAGUGAGAGGAGACACUUGGUCCUCACGAGUGUACCAUGCUCUAACUACUUCAUAGGGUUGUUGCAUUAUACCUCAGGGAACAAGUUGAUCAGCACCUCAUUUGUUCACUGAAUCAAGACUCCUAUUGAAGUAUUGCAACAAUAUGUGGUUUGGUAGUUUAUAAGUUAGACAUUGAAGUACCAACUUCUUGAAUCUCAGCCACGUCUCGUGUAUAGGUUCACCCUCCAAGUGUUUGAAACCUUGGAUACUAUCCCUGAGCAUCAUCAUUUUCGAUGGGGGGAAAGAAUCUCACAAAGAAUGUUGUGGUAAGUUCAUCCCAAGAGGUGAUGGAGUCCCUCGGUAAUUCAGCCAACCAUUUUGUGGCUUCACCCAUCAAAGAGAAUGGGAACAACCUGAGACAGACUGAUUCUUGUGAUAUGUUCUUGAAUAAGAACAGACCACAAACAUCCACGAAGUUCUGAAUAUGCUCAUGGGGUCUUCAUGGGCCAACACUCCAUAUGACCCUUUCAUUUGGAGGAGUUGUAGCAUUGUGCUCGUAACAUGGAAGACAUUAUUACCCUCAACAAGGGGUAGACGAAUUGCACUAACACCACCCAAUUGAAUUGGGUCAGUCACAUCAUUAAGAUUCCCAAUAUCGUCUUGGUGGCCCACUUGUCUACCAUUACUUCCGGUUACGCUCAUCUCUUCCUCUGUUCAAAACAAGCAACACAAACACAAAUUAAAGUAAGUUGCUUCAACUACAACCAAAAAGAUCACAAUUCAACUUCAAUAAUAGAAUUCUAAACAACACCACUCCCCGGAAGCGGCGCCAUUUUGAUUAACGUCUCAAGUACACCUCAUCCAAUUCUAGGUGUAAACGAUCGUUAACUAGUAUAAAACCCACGAAAGGUUGGGGGUCGAACCCCACAGGGAGCGGUACAUGUUCAAAUUCAAUUAUGAAGUGUAAAUGUGGUCUAAUUUGUUAUAGGAAUAGAAAUUAUCUAAAACAUACAAAUAAAUCUAAAGGGGUGACAACAAAUGUCAGAUGGGGGUUUUGGAUUGUCAAUUAUAUAUCAGCUACAAUACAAUCAAACACUAAGGAAAUAACAAUAUUGAGAGAAAUUCUCGGGAUGUGAUCGAUUAUAGGCAAAUUUCACUGCAUGGGUAAUUGAAACUACUAAUAAAUAGCUAAAUAUCAGUGGGUAGGCUAGACUAUAGAUGCAACAGUUUUCUCUCAAACAACUAUUACGAAUCAGAUGAUUUCUUUCGAACAUCAACAAGCUUAACAGAUAAGAACAACCCACAUCUUAAUUCAUCUACUCUCUCGAGCUAGAUAAGUAGAAUUGAGAUUAGGAUUUACUCUUUCGAGCUAAACCCAUAUCAACCCAAUAACUACAAUCAUCUAUUAAAAACUUUGAUUCUACAACCUUUUUUUCAAGCAAGCUUAGAAUUCUAACUUCGAAUUGCAUUUGCAACUACAAUUCUUAGUUUAAAACAUAACUAUCAAUUAAACUCACUUCAAUUAAGCAUUUAAAUUAGUAAUUAACAAUACCCAUAAGCUAAUUGAACUCAUAAUCACAUGAUCACACCCCAAGAAUUAGGGUUUUAGCUAAACAUCAUAAAAUGUAAAAAUAAUUACCAACUCGAUUAGCCAUUAGUUGGGUAAGAGUUUCCAAGCCUUUACAAGGGUUAAAUUCAAAGACCCACUUGCAAAUCUUCAAGUUUGAGUCUCAAAAACGUCAAAUUCUACAAUGGAACUCCAAAACUAAAAAGAAAAACUCUACUAAAUGAUUCUAUGAUUGCAUGAUAAUAAAUCUUCGGUUCAAAAUUCAAUUUAUAGUUGCCCAAUUUUUGGCCUGGAAAGCCAUUGGGCUAGAUAAGUCAGGCUGCGCUGAAAGGUCGGCGAUCAGCCGUUUGCUCCAAUCCAUCGCCGGUUUGCAUUGGUCAGUUGUCCUCAAGGUUUUGUGACUUUAGGCGAUUAAGGUUGCCAUUGCGGAGUGGAUCGGCGAUUCGCCGAAUGCCCAUAUCUCUCGCCAACUUGGUUUUUCUCCCCAAGGCUGGCACGCUGGAACUUUGGACGAGCUAAAGAGCCAGUCGGUGGUUUGCCGAGUGGUCUUGGCGAUCACCAACAUCACUGUUCUCCACUUCUUUAGCUUGUUUUGCUCCUUUUUAUCUGGUAGUGUCCUUGCCUUGCUCCUGAGCUCACCAAAAUUUAAGGUGGCAAAAUUGACCUGCAAAAUUAAACCAUCUUGAAUAUGCACUCAAUGUGUUUGAUGAUGGGCCCAAGUUAUCUUAUUUGAUGAACAAGAAUUUUGGCACACUCACUUUAUUUUAAGCUCUUAAUUUUGAUCAACUUCUUAAAAGUUUAAAUAAAGCUAAAUGGAACUUAGCCCAUUUAGCUACAAUCAGUCUACUACACUUUUCCUCUUGCCUAAAUAUCUAAGUAGGACCAAGAAUUAUAUGUAAUGCUCCAAAUAUGACCGAGUGUAUUGGUGAGUAUUUGUUUUAAAAUACCUAUUGUUUCUUUCUUUCUGUAAUGACCAAAAAAUGCAAAGAGGAAAAGUGUUCCAAAAGUCUUAAAGAUGCUUCUUAAUUCAUUCUCUGCCUGUUCCAGCUAUAUACAACUUCUUUCAGUAUUUCUGUAUUCCCCCAUUGCAUCAAUAACACAUUAAGGAGCAAGGUCCAUGCCUUCCAUAUGUAUUGACUAUACAAAAAUAAAAAGAUGAGCGGGAGAUUCACUGUUGGCUUCAUGUAGAAAGCACCUACUGCAUAGCUGAAAACCUCUUUUUUUUUUGUAAAUUGUCCUACGUUAGGAGCGUUUCUUGUACGGCCAGACAACCAAAGCAAGGUUGUUUUGGUAAUUCUUUUAUCUUCCUCAUUGCUUUCCAUCUCCAUAUCUCCCACCCACUGGAUAUUUUAGCAAGAUUUUAUGAACUUUCUUAUUCUGUCCACUCUCUAUGCUAGAGAAUCAGGAAAUUGGACGUAUUGAGAGAACUAAUUCUGUGUCAAAAAGAGUUGGUAGCAUUGUAAAGAGGAUACGUUUGGUUGAAUGAAAUCUUAAUUUUAACCAAAAAAAAAGAAACUUAGCUUCUCACUGGUUGUAUCAACAUGAGGUAUAUAUAUCAUGAUGAAUCUUAAAAAAGAAAACUCUUUCACAACGAAAUAUGAUCAGUUGGAUCUUGAAUGAGUGUUUACAUAAUCUUGUUUUGUAUGAAGAAAUAGUGAAAUGAAAUUGUCUUGGCUACGAUAGUGAUGUCCAUAUGUCAGGGGCAAUCACACAUAUAAUAUAUUCAAUCAAUACAUUUUAGAGUGUAAUAUUAAUUUAUGUAGAUUGUUAAAUAUCUUCAAGAUGCAAUGUUAAUAUUUUCAUGUAUUUCAUAGGGUACUACACGAAUUAUUCAAUUCUACAAUAUGGAGUUUUGACUUUAAAUUUUGUAAUCUUUUGUAAAAGCAGCAAGUCCAUUGUGUGAUGUUCUUUUACAUCCUGAUAUGUGAUUCAGUAAGAAUUCUCUUUGUGUAUGUGUGUUGCUCCGUAUAAUGUUCUUUUUGAUCGAUUUUCUUUUUUGAUAUGCAAUUACUUUUUUUAUUGAAAGAAUAUUUGUCUGCCAAAUAUUCGAGAGUUUUACACUUUGCUUAAUUAAGAGUACUGGUUUGUCAACAAUUUAUAUUUCGUGAUGUUAUGUAAGCAUAUCCUUUGAUCGAUUAUUUGUCAUGGUCCAUUUCUCUUUAUAAAAACGAUUUAUUAACAACGGAUAAAGUAAGAGCAUGUUGCCUGGUAAUAGCCUAUUCAAGAAAUAAAACUUAGAUGAGAAACUUUCCUUUUUGGACUUUUAAGUAAGAUAUAUUCUUUCCUCUUUCCUUUCGACAUCAAAAUUGGAAUUCUCCUCCACUUCUCUGGACUUAUUUCAUAGGUUCAACCAUAUCUCAUCGUCACUUGCCUAAAUUUUAUGUUUGAUUGCAACUUUACUGUGGACUCUAAGAAGGUAUAUCUUGAAAAAAAAAUCACAUAAGUAAAGACAUGUCUUGUGAAAAUAAAAUAGUAAUUUCAGCCCUGAAUCUUCUUCUAUUCUACCCGUUGAAUGCACUCCACUUAAUUUAAUAUACUUAUAUGUUCACUCAUUUAUGCCAUUGUCAUAUAAUUUUUAGGUGUGCUCAUUUGUAGUUGAAUAUUUGACUAUUGUGGUUCAUUAUUUUACUCUCAAGGCCUAAACUAUUUGGUGGCUAGAGUGACCACUAUUUCGAUCUGUUGUCUGGACAUUUGGAUUGUAAAUCAAUUCAAGUAGUUAUAUCAUGAACUUCGACUAUGCUAUUGUGGCAGCUGUGGAAAUAGAAGAUGAAGAAAUUUUCAUGUUCUUAUAAAGCUAUUUAUUAGGUCGACAUUCAAAUGAAUCUACUGCUUUCACAACUUUGAACUUAGCCGAAAGACCAAGAAAAAUAUAGUGAUAUGUUUUGAUAGUAUGUUAAAGGAAAUGAAAGCAUUUAAGUUAUUUUCUUUACCGUUGGAAGCAUUUUACUAUAAAGUGAUAAUCGACUAUAAUGAAAUGUUUGUUAUGAAUUUGCUUGGAUAAGUCCAGUGUUACUAGACAUUAUUGGUUUUAUAUCCGUUUUGGUUUUCAUCAGUAAUUGUAAUUUUGUGUACCCUCUAUGCAAUUUUAUCAUUGCUUUGAUUCUUUAUAAAAUGUUGGGCUCGUGUUGAGCACGGGCCAUUUCUUUCUAGUCAUUAUCGAUAAGAAAGUAUUAAGUAACAUACUAAUAUAUCACAUGUUUGGACAUAAUAAUAUAAAAUGUAACUCAUUAUCUUAAUUACCAAACUAAAUUUUGCUAUCCAAUUUUGCAGGUUCAUCGAUUGUCUAACUAUUUGACAUAUAACAAAAUAGUUAUUUGAAUAGGUUGAUUAUUAUACUAAUGUAACACCUCAAAAAUUUCUAAGCUAAGACUUGAAUCAUUCUUCAUUUGCGUAUAAGUUUGUAUCAGGUGAUUUUUAAAUUGUGCUUAGGUGUUAAGGUCAAUUCUUAAGUGUGGGAAUAGAUUUGGACAUGAUUAAGGUCACAAGAGUCCACUAGCACUAAGUUUAGUUGAAAGCUUCCUUACAGAUUAAGCUUUGAUAUAAAAUUCUACUUAGGUCAACUUCAAACGAUCAUAUAUUUCAGGAAAUAAUGAAUUAGGUGCCCAUGACCUAUCAAAUUAAAGGUCUAUGAAUCAUCUUUCCAACGCCACUAAGUUUGCCUCAUUUCGAGUAUGGAGUAAAAGGUUAUGACCAUUUUACCAAAGACUACCAUAGCAAAGUUUUCUGAGUUAGUGACCUAUAAAUCACUUCUACGAGUCGUAGAAAGAGCUACGACCCGUACUGUUGACUAAUAGAAAAAAGUUCUGGAAGUCAAAUUUUUGGGUCCAUUUCUUACGAAGCCAUCUACAGGUCAUAGUUUGGGCCCGUAAAAUGAACAUUUGAGAUUUAAAAUUUCAAUAUGAGUUCCACGGAUGGGGUCCGUAGAUCAAACCACAAACCAUAGAUGGCCUCGUGGAAGCUGAUUUUCGACAACUUUUAAGAACUUAUCUCAAUCUAUAUAGAGUAUUUUUACUUGAGCAUUAAGUUAUAUAUUAUGGGAGUAAUAUUGAGCACCGAUAUGGGGAAGAGUUCAGACAACUCACAUUCCCUAUAAAUCAAGUAGCCAGCGUGGGUUAGGAUCACACCGACUAUUGGUGACUCUUCACUGCCUAUGAGCAGACCUUUCAUAUGGAUUCAUUAUUUGAGUUUAUUCUAUACCCGGGCAAAGGUAUGGAACAAUUCUGACAGCGUGGGCAAAACAUUGUAUCAUCACGAGGCUCAUAUUAAUGGUUGUCGGUUAGAGAAACUCCUAGUAACGUAAAGUAAAGUAAAGUAUAUUUUUAUUUAUAUAUUUCAGUUCAAUAUUUAAUAUUAUUACAUUUUUACGGUAAGAGCUUAAAUAAUUUUCAUCAUGAUUUACACUAUAUUUUAGUUGAGUUACAUUCAGUUCGACUAUUUGAUUUAUUCAGCCCUAUUACAUACUCAUACAUUCAAUGUACUGAUGUCAUUCGACCUGCAUCGUUUCAUGAUGCAGAUUCAGGUACUUAGGAUCAUCAACAAGAGUUCCGUUUAGAUCACAUCAUCCGCUCCUCAACUUUUGGUGAGGCCUCCUUACUUUUGGAGGAUUCUAGUUUUAUGAUUUGUUAGUAGUAGCAUUUUGAGGUGUCGUGGGUCUUGUACCGACACCUAUCUUUAUACAGUAGCGACUUCAUAGAUAUACAAUCUUAGUUAGUUCGAUAGUAUUUAAUUUCAGGUGUAUUAUUUAAAACUUUAUGUUGAAUACUCAAUAUUUUCAUAUAGCUUUGAGAUUUAAUAAACUGUUUUAAAUGAUUUUUCAGUUUUGAUGUUUGUAUAUGCUUGAGUUAGUCUUCCGCUUUGUAGUCAGCCAGGACAAGGGUUCACUCAAGAACCAACAAUGGUUCUCAAGUGUGGGCCACGUCCAGAGUGUAGACUCGGAGUGUGACAACUCAUUAAUUACAAUGUGAUUUUGAUAUAACUCAUAUCACAUAUAAUAUUUUCUUGGGACUCACAUACCAAUAUCAACCAUAUUAACUUGAAAAGCAAUAAAAUAUGCAUAUCAUCAUAUGCAUACAAAAUGAAAUAUAUAUAUAUAUACUAGUUUUGGAAACGUGCCUUGCACGUUUGACCUCUAUUACUGUAUAAAAAUUCUAUGGCCUGACUCAUGUAUAGAAAACAUUUGCAAUAUCAACCAUAUUAACUUGAAAAGCAAUAAAAUAUACAUAUCAUCAUAUGCAUACAAAAUGAAAAAGGUCAAAUAAAGCAAUAUAUUAAUAAGAAAGAAUAAUCAAUAAAUAAAGAAUUAUAUAAAAAUUAUAAGAUGAUGAUAUACAAAAGUCUAGUGGACUAACAUUUUAUGUCCAAUUUAUAAAAGAAGAAAUUGUACACAUCAAAAGUUGUGAGUGAAUAUGAAAGUAAUAGAGGAAAAAAAAAUUACUUGAUUUUGUAGAUGAAUAUGGCUGUGUUUAGGGGUGCGCAUCGGUCGGUUCGGUUCGGUUUUAUGUGUAAUUGGUUCGGUUUAUCGGUUUUUGGUUUGUAAAUACGUCAAACCAAUAACCAAACCAAUAAUAUAUUUCUUAUCGGUUUUUGGUUAAUCGGUUUAUGGUACUUAACGGUUCGGUUUUCGGUUUAGCCAAUAAAAAAAUACUCAUAUAUAUUAUAUACACGAUAAGAAAAUUUUCAAAUAAACCAUAUGAUUUUUCCAGCAUUUGGCAUGAAAGUAAUAAUCAUAAAAGUAACAAUCAUUUUUCUUGCAAGUUUAGACACUAGACACAUUCAAAGGAAAAAGUUUGAAAGUAACAAUCGUUUAACCAUUAACAAUAAGACUAGUAAAUUUAGUAUACUCUUAUUGGGUUAUCGGUUUAACCAUUAACAAAAAUCAUAAAACCGGAAAUCGAACCAAUAACCCAAUAAAAAAUUUUGCAAAACCGUUUAAAAACCGUUAGCCCAAUAACCCAAUAUCAAUAAACCAAUAAUAUUUUUUUCGGUUCGGUUUAUUGGUUAAAUCGGUUUUUGCACACCCCUAGCUGUGUUGGCGAAAUGGAACCAUAAAAUUGAUAAUAAACUUACGUCUUAUUUUUCGCUAACAGAUGAAGAAUGAAGAAUAAAAAAUGAACAUAAGGAGUUAUUAUAAAAAUGUAUUGAAAAACUUAAAAGAAAAGACAUUUAUUUCAUAAGCGAUAAAAGAGGUAAUCAAUUCAAAUGAGAUUUGCCUUUUUAUCUAAUGUGGCUAUAUUUGUGUUUACGUUUUUUUUAUUUAUCAUGUUUAUAAAAUGUAUAUUUAUAUUUUUACACUUAAAUGUUUUGGUAUAAUAUUUGCUUGAAAGAUAAAAAAAAAAAGUAUUUAAUAUUUCAUGGCUUUAAAGCUAAAAAGACUAACAAUCAAACCUCAUUAAAAAGUGAAAAAUGAUAAGUUGUAGCAUCUAAUCAUGUAUUUGGUCUAGUUUAAUUGUCAUUAUUUAUUUGAUUUUAAAAGUUAGUAAGGUAUUUUUUUUAAUUAAAAAAUUAAUGAAGGGUGUUUUCGUAAUCCAACAUUGAACUUAAAACCCUCACACUUUCAUGUUAAUUUGUGUUGAGUCAUUAAAACGAUAUAUAUACAUUUUCCUAAAUAGUCUUUUUAUGAGCAGAUAAAAAUGUUAACUACAAAAUUCUUUAUUUGCAGAAUAGUCGUGAUGUUUCAUGAUUUAUGAGCGGUCAAUUAGAACAAUAAAGAUUAUAUUUAAACAUGUGUGAAAUGAAUAAUAUAAAAUAUAUCUACAAAUCAGAAGCUCAAUCUGAAAAAUAGUCAGGAUGUUUGAUUAGGUGAUUAUUUGAUGAGUCAUGUCGUCUAAAGUUUUGUUUUAAAUUUUCUUGUUAAUCUUAAAAGUUAAUAAGUUUAACGCAAAUUAAUUUAUGCUACUAUUUAGCUUUUUGCUUAAAAAAUAAAAGUUCAACACAUAUCACAUUUGAGUCAAGACAAACGAAAAAUCACCCUAUAUAUCUAUUUAAGGCUUAAUAUUACAGCCUUUAGAUGUACUUUUUUUAUAUUACUACUUAUAACAGUUUAAUUACAAAUAUUAACAGAUUAGUUUUAAUUUAUAAUUUAAUUAAUUAGUUAUUAUUUUUAUAAUUACAUUAUAAUUAAUAAGUAAGAGAAAUAACAUUAAUAUUAGAGAAUCAAUUGUCACUAUCGCUUACACCAUUUUAGGGAUAACAUUAAUAUUAGAGAAUCAAUUGUCAUUAUCUCUUACACCAUUUUAGGAAUUUUUUUCCAGAUUUCACACAGCAACCCCCACCUUCCUCUUUUACCCCCACGCAAACCCCACACCCCCACCCUCACGUUUCUCUUUUACAGAGAACUAAUUUUUUCUCUCUCACCAUCUUCAACGUUCGUCUUCUUCAUUCAAAAAGAAAAUCAGUAGAACUCCCACAUUUAUAUGAUUUAAUGGUGGGAUGAGAUCUACAAUGUUGAAAUUCCUGCAAAGUGUGGUUCCUCUCAGUCGAAGGAUCAAAAGGAGAAAAAAAACGAAGCAAAGAAAANNNNNNNNNNNNNNNNNNNNNNNNNNNNNNNNNNNNNNNNNNNNNNNNNNNNNNNNNNNNNNNNNNNNNNNNNNNNNNNNNNNNNNNNNNNNNNNNNNNNNNNNNNNNNNNNNNNNNNNNNNNNNNNNNNNNNNNNNNNNNNNNNNNNNNNNNNNNNNNNNNNNNNNNNNNNNNNNNNNNNNNNNNNNNNNNNNNNNNNNNNNNNNNNNNNNNNNNNNNNNNNNNNNNNNNNNNNNNNNNNNNNNNNNNNNNNNNNNNNNNNNNNNNNNNNNNNNNNNNNNNNNNNNNNNNNNNNNNNNNNNNNNNNNNNNNNNNNNNNNNNNNNNNNNNNNNNNNNNNNNNNNNNNNNNNNNNNNNNNNNNNNNNNNNNNNNNNNNNNNNNNNNNNNNNNNNNNNNNNNNNNNNNNNNNNNNNNNNNNNNNNNNNNNNNNNNNNNNNNNNNNNNNNNNNNNNNNNNNNNNNNNNNNNNNNNNNNNNNNNNNNNNNNNNNNNNNNNNNNNNNNNNNNNNNNNNNAAAAUGGUAUAAAAUGAUUUUUCUUUCAAAAAAAUUUCAGUGAUUGUGGUUUGUACACGUGUCUAUUUGCUGAAUACAUCAGUAAUGGAGUUUUUGAUAUGCGUUCUGUUGAUAUCGAUGGAAAGUACCAUCGUCAAAGGUAUGCUACAAUCAUAUGGCAUUAUGGAAAAACAAAGAAUGAUGAUGGCGCGACCAGUGAGAGUGAAGUAACUGGCACUGUUGCUAGCAAAUUUGAUGGACCCCGCAUAGCAAAAGAACAUGCUCCAGAUACCAGCAAUUAUCCCACACCAAGAUCACGGAGAUCAAAUUUGAGAUAGUUGAUUGCACCUUAGACUCUUUAGAAUUACAAGUUUUUUUUUUUUGCUUUUGGACGAUAUUUUUGUGUUUGUUACAGCUUUAAGUAGUUGAUGUAUAUAAUAUCCAUUAUUUUAUUCCAAAAAGAUACCAACUACAUAUGAAUUACAGAUUGACUAUUGUAAUCGCAGGAUACUAGUUAUAUACAGACUACAUUCCAAAUGGAUACACCAUUCUAAAGAUAAAUUACACAUUGACUAUAAUAAUUCUCGGGAUAACAGUUAUAUACAAAAUGCAUACAAAUUGGAUUCAACAUUUAGAGUUUAUGACUUUACAAUGUCUUAUUAACUAUAAAGAAAUCAUACUAUUAAUUUAGAGUUCAUGAACUAACUUUGACUUAUAAUUGGGAUCCAAACUAUACAUCUUUGGCAUCCAAAUUCAUAUUCUAAUACAAAAAAAUAAAAAAUGAAUGAAGUUGGUAUCUAACAUGUAUAAAUACCUUGUAUAAACGAUUAUGCCAAUGUAAAAUAGUGACAACAAUUCUGGAAAAAAUAGCAGAGAGAGAAACGUUGAAGAAAAUGGAUAAAAAUAAGACUUUUUAAUUAAUUUAACAGAUUAGAGUGAAUUAAGGAAAUAAAUAAUUCCUAAUUAGUUUGUAAUCUCCUAAAUUUAUGCUAAUUAAUAAUGUCAUCAAUCAAUUCAAAUUUAAUUAAAUACACCUAUUUCCGUUUUUUAUUUUUUCUUCAAAAUCGAUUUAUUUUCCUUUUUUAUCUUUUUUUUUUUCAAAACAGAUUUUUACAAUUAAUUAAAAAAACGUUUUUUUUAAAUAAAAUAUUAUAACCUGAAAUUUUUUAUUGUUUACAACUUGAAAGUUUUAUUCUACUGCUAUAACUUGAAAAUAUUAGUCUAAUAAAUGUCAUAUGAAAUUUUCAAAAUCUCAACACCUUUGAUCUGCAAAAGGUUUACUCCAAUUGAAAAAGUUCAAAAAAUUUGGUCACAUUUAUGUAUAUUAAAAUAUACAUUUGCACAGUUAAUGAAAGAAAGCAUAACUUAUUAGAUUCCAAAAUAAUAAUAUUUGCAUAAUAUAUAAAUUAUUGUAUUUUCUUAAUAUAUUUUUGAAUUUGUCCCUUAUUUAAUCAUGGUUCCACCAACCAAAAUACAUGUUCAGUUCUUUCUUUAGUUUCAUCUUGUAAACUUUUUUUAGUUUUUGUUGAUCAAUUUUAUAUUUAAUUACUUACAAAGACAAAAAAAAUAUAUGUCGUAAAUGAAAAAGAAGAGAAUAACUGUAAUAAAAUCACGACAGUAAGAGACAUGCACAUGAAAACAUCUUUGGACCACACGUGAUAAUUUACAGUAUUAGAACAAUUGAUUAACAAUAAAGUAAAAAUAAAUCAAGUGAAAAGUCUACACAGUAUAUUAGGCAUCAGAAAAGAGCUUCUUUAAAAUGAAAAAAAAGAAAGUAAAUUUACCCGGAUCUUGAAGUUGAAAUUGAACACUGUUCGAAACAAAAUAAGAAUGUUUUGACACUUUGGUAUCUACUUUUAUUUAGUGAAAUAGUAAUAAAUUAUGAAUAAAGACUAUGUCAUAAAUAUUUUUCUUGUAAUGGUAGAAGCUUAUAGGACCAAAUCAAUAAUAGUUGGAUUAGGGACAAGUGAUAUUCCAAAUAAUAGUACUAUUUUAAUUAUGGAAAUCUGAAAAGGUGUAACCUACUAUAAUUAUUGGCAUUUCAAUGAAACUAAUUUUAUAUCUAUUAAUUAUUAAUAUAUGUUAUUUAUUUGGUUAAAAGGUAAAAUUUUCACGUAAUUUUUAUAUUUUUUCAUAAAUAUAUAAUAAUAGUGUUUAAUAAAAUAUGAUAGUAUUUAUUUUAAUUAUCUAUAUUUUUAUCCAUAAAUAUUAUGACUUUAUAAGGACAUUUUAGUAAUUUAACUUUUUUUUUUUUGCUUUCCACUUUUAAUAAUGAUGAUUAUGAUUAUGAUGAUGAUGAUGAUAUAUGAUAUAUAUUUCAUACAGAGUAAAAAAUAAAAUAACUAAACCCUACAUAAUUAAGCCAUAUAUUAUUAAUCACUACGUUACUAAUACCUACGCAACUCUAACCAACAACCAAAAACCAAAGACAUAGAGAUCAACAAAUUAAAGGAAUUCAAAACUUUAAUCCUUUAACAAAGAGAGCACUUGGCAUUGGCUCAUUUCAUGCUAUGAUGUUGUCUCCCUAUCUCUUGGUUGAAGCGGGGAUGGGACUCUAUAGUCUCUAUCUAGUGCUCUUCCAGCUCGAUAUCAGUAUAAGUAUCAAUCUCUUUCCGUUCCUGUGUAUGAGUGGAAUUUUGAGUAAUCGAUGAGACUAGUAAGAAUUCUCCAAUAGGUAUAAUCCUUGUUUUUGUUCCUUCUUUAAAUGCUUGAGGGACUUCUUUCAAUGUCAAUGCUUCAAGUACUACUAGGCACAACAUAGCGAGAAGUCAGUCUACUCUGUUCAUCUACCCCUAACAAUAACAAGCAAGAGGGGGUGCUAAAGUUCAACUUCAACUCUCUCCAUUCACUUUUACUUGUCUAUUAUACUAUAUUAUUAUUUUUUCAUGUUUUACCUAUAGCUAUUAAUGAUUAUUCUCCAAAUCAUUUUAUAAGACUUUAUACUAAACACUAGUUAUUAUAAUAUUGUGGUAAAAUACUCAAAUUAAUUAUUAUUUUUCAAGAGACGACAUGCAUAGUCCAAAGUACUGAAGUAGUGGACAAAUAAAAGUAAAAUGAGGGGUCGGAAUAGUUCUUUACAAAAAUGGUGAUCACUGAAACUGAAAAUAGCCUUCAAUUACCUUUGUUAUUAGCUACAAAAUUUAUUAGUAAUUCCUAAUUAAUCCAUUGCAAAAUAGCUCCUAGCAAAUUGGAUUUUCAUGUAAUUCAUUGUUAAUCUGUAGCUAAAUGAAAGUAGCAUGAAAUUUUGACCGUUUAACUACGAAAUUUUGUUCGGUCACUAAUUCUUUUUUUCUUGUAGUGUUUGGGAUAUAUGGAAGGAUGUAUCAUUUUUAGCUUUUUAGAUUGGCGCAUUUACUCUGCAUUUGUGUUCAUUUCACAUAGAAGCGACAAUUCAGUUUUUGUGGCCUAUAUGUAGAGGAUUUACUGUUAAUUGUCAAUGCAACAUUCCUCCGCCCAUAAGAUUUCCGUUGCCAAUGGAGUCUAUGGACAUGUCAGGCUGGAACAAGAUCAAGGACAAGGUGUCAUGCUGUAGAACAUAACAAAGAAAACCUCAAAAUAUCAUGAGUUAGGAGACACGAGAAAUAUAUCAAAAGAGGACGAAAUAGAACGGGAUAAAUGACCAUACACACAAGUAAGUCAGUAGAAUAGCAAGGGAAGCACACAUGACACAACAAUCACAAAAUCAUGCUAUUUGCAUCAUUUCUUUAAUCUAUAAGUAGGAAUAGCCAGCAAAGGCAUUUCUCUACAUGUUACUAGCCCAAACUUCUCAUCAAUGUCUAAAUCACAAGGCUGCAUACCAUUUGGAAGCUCCCACUCAAAGCAAUGCACCAAUUGUGCCACCAUAAGGCGGACAACAGUAGCUGCCAACUGCAUUCCAGGACAACUUCUUCUCCCAGAGCCAAAUGGUACAAGUUGAAAGUCGCGUCCACGAAAAUCUAUAGUGGCAACCGUACGUCGACUACACAAUCUUCCAUGGACUCAUGAUAAAAUAGUGGCACUACAGGAUGCAGCCUCAGGCCCUCUUUUACAACCAUGUCUAAGUACUUCAAAUUUUCCAGGUUAGAUUCUUCAACCAUUAUUUCAAAGCCUACCACUUCUUGCAACUCCUUUUGGAGUUUCUUCAUCACUUGGGGAUGUCUAAGAAGUUCUGUGAGUAUCCAUUCCGUUGAUGAUGCUGUAGUGUCCAUUGCAGCUACAAGCAUGUCCGGUAUAGUAAAAAGGAAACAGAGGAAUUAAUUAGUAGUACAAACCAUUUCAUUCUCAAGGCUUGUGGUAUAUUAAGCUUAUACUAGUAAACAUACAAAGAGGGUAGCUUUUACGUGACUACGGUCAAACUGAAAUUCUGCUUCUCCAGAUUGAACUUCUUGCUUUCUCAUGGAUUGAAAUGAAUUGAUCUUGCGAUUGCUCAAAAGGUGCAGAGUGCACAACUUGCGCAUGUUGCGCCAAUACACACCAUACUUUGCAAAUGCCAUAUUCUUCUGUCCAUAAGACAAAUAUUGAGAUGCCUCAUGAUGAGGCCUACUAGCAAAGAUGUGAUCAUACGUCUUGAGGACCUUCUCCGCUGCAUCAGCAGACGAGGCAAUGAUUGUAGGUACUAGCCCUAGUCUCACAUACAUAAUAGGACCAUGUUUCUUAACUAGUUUUUGUAAAUCUUCGUGUGGAUUUUUACCAGCUAACAAAUGAAGAUGUCCUAAAAUGGGAAAGCCUGUUGAACUUGGAGGAAACUUUUUCCUCUUGGGAAUGUUUAGCAGCUGAUACAAGGCAUAUACAAAUAGAGAAACCAUUAGAGUUGCCCAUAACAAAGUCAUUGAGUUAGAAGAGAAAAAUUCAGUCUUAAUUAUUCAGAUUUGUAGAUAGUUUAUAAAGGAAAUGCAGGACAAGAGCAAAGUAGCAAUAGUAAUUACUGAUAUGCCCUAUAACUUUGAGUGUGCAUAAACAGACACUUAAACUUGUAUAAAACUGAAUAAGUAGGCACAUGUAUCCUACAUGACAUAUUACAAGUAGAACACCAAAUAGGAUGUGAACUGUCACAUAAGAAGUCAUGUAGGACACAUGUGUCUAUUUGUUCCAUUUUAUACAAAUUUAAAUGUCUACUUAUGCACGUCCAAAAUAAGAGGGCACAAAAGCCGUUAAAGUAUACAUGUUCAAAAUAUUCACUUUCAAUACCACGGUAGGGUUUUGCUCUUAGCAGCCGGGCAUAAUUUUAAUUAAUUUGAAGAUAAGUACUGAUUAACUGUCACUUUUAUUACUUAUACUUCAUAAGUACUCUGAAUCCUAUUAUAAAAAAGAUUCAUUUGUAAUUUACUAUUCCCUCAAUUCCUUUUUAUAUGUCAUCCUUUCUAUAAAUAGCUGGAUCAUAAUACUUGUCAUUUCAUAAAAUCAAUACAUGAUAAGUAAUAAGUAACUUAUUACUUAGUCUUGAAAAUAUAUACUUUGACCAACCUAGAAAAACUAAUAUGUAACUAAUAUUCAUUGGAGUACUUUAUACAUUGAUUAAUUACUCUUUCCAUUCAAUAUUCUUUAAAAUCUGAUUUUAAAAAUAAACUCAAAAAGUUAAAUAGUCAUCCAAAUGCAUUUUAAUUUUUGAAAUCUAGUAUAUUCAUCAUAUUUUGAAAAGUUGAUUUAAGAAAAUAUUAAAUAAGGGUAGAAGGGUAAAGUUACUUAAUUUCUUAAUGCAAGUGUACUCUAAAAAUGUGACAUAUAAAAAGGAACGGAGGGAGUACUAAUUGAGGUAUAUGAAAAGAAUUUGAAUUAUGAGUUCCAAAAUAUUUUAUUGCUCAUUUUAAUGUAUGUGAUAUAGUUUGACUUAGCAUAAAAAAAAAUUAAAAAAUACUUUUGAAAUUUGUAAUUUAAAAUAAAUUAUAGAUAUUUGUGAGUAUAAAUAAUUUCAUUAAAUAUAAAAUGAAAAUUCUAAAGUUUUUGAAUUGUUACUAAAUAUAAAAAUAUGUCAUUAUUCUCGGUACAAAAGUGAGUCAAAUAAAUUGAGACUAAUAAAAUAUAAUUUUGACUAGGGGUUUCUCACUUUCUAGUCAAAGAUAUGGUAAUUUUUUUUAUAUGAUAAUAGAUAUUAGAAAAAUGAAUAAUUAACAUACCCUAACAGAUCUAUUCCCAAAGUCUCCUAUUUUUUAUUAUUAUUUUUUAAAUUAAAGCAGCCGUCAGGCCAUUAGUAUUACAUUUGGACGGUUAUUGUUUUAUAAUGUAUUAUAUUGUAUUAUGUUGUGUUAUAUUACAUUGUACGGUAUUGUUUUAAUGAAUACAACGUUUUGAUUGAUUGUAUCGUUUUUCUUCAUUACAUAAUGUCACACAUCUAUAAUCUGAAUGAUAAACCUAUAAGAAAACUAGAAUACUAGGUAGAGCUAUUAUGAAAAGAUAGGGUAAAAUAAAUAUAAAUGUUAUUAUUAAAUACUAAGGUAACGGCAUCACACCAAACAUGUCGUUACACAAAAUGAGUCUUUUCAUUAUUAUCUAACGAUGAAUUUAAACAUUACGAUACAAUAAAAUUUAAUUAACAAUCAAAACAAACAUUGUACUUAAACUAACAGGUAACAACUAACGGAUAACAACCGUCCAAACAAGGUGUUACUAUUCUUCCUAUUUAUAAUAAUGCGACCAAUUUUCACCAAUGCAUGAGGUAAAUAUUAUAAAUAUUUCAAUUUUUGUAUGAAGAAUUUAUGUUUUUUGCCUUGUUUAUAUGACAAUAUCAUUUAUUGAAGAGUGAAAAUAGAUCUCUCUUUAAUUGUCAUUUUUCCAAACAUAUGCAAAUUUAAUAAUUAAAGAAUUAAUAUCAAUUUUACAUCAAACGUUAAGUAUUUUGACUCUUAUGUACCUCUUAGUCAAAGAAAUGAUUAUCUUUAAAUACCUUUAAUGAUCAUGAAAACUAAUGUUAAGCAUAUUUGAUAUAGCAUUUUAGUUGUUGUUAAGCAUAUUUGAUAUAGCAUUUUAGUUUACAUUUUUGCCUAAUUAAAAAAAUAUACUAGAUACGAGACCCCGUGCCAGCACGGGCCCAAUAUAUACUCCCUAUCUCAAUUUAUAUGAUAUAUUUCAGAUUUUGAAAUUUAAACAAGUCUAAUCUUUGAUCGUAAAUUUUUCAUAAAUCUUUUAAAUAAUUUAAAUUGUCAAUUAUUGUGACUUAUAGCACUUUUUACGUAAUUUAAAAAUAUAUAAAUUUAUUUUUAAAAAAUUAAAGAUUCCAUAAGCAAAUUCUCAGGCAAACUUAAACUCUAGAAAAUGAAAUGUGUCACAUAAAUUGAAACAGAGGGAGUAUUAUUUUUUUAUUUUAAUUUAUGUGAUACAAAUAGAACUUGAGAAAUUAUUCAAAUUUUAAGUAAUUAAUUACUGUAAUUUAUAAUAUUUUUUACGUAAUUUUGUUGAAACAAUAUAUAUUAUUUCAUUUCUCAAUUUACGCGGCACAUAUUUAAAUAUUUUAAGUUACUAAUUAUUGUAAUUUGUAGUACCUCUUACGUAAUUUCUAAAUAAUAUGUAUUACUUCUCAUGUCUCAAUUUAUAGGACAUUGAUAUUGCCAAAUUUUUAUGUCUUUUGAAUAUUGUAAGUUAUUAAUUAAUGUAAUUUAUAAUACUUUUUACGUUAUUUUAAUCAAGAAAAAAUCUUUUUGGCCAGAAAAUUUGGCCAGAAUGAUAUUUUAUCUAUGUUAUUUUACCUUUAAAAAUAUUUAUACCUUUUUAACUUUAAUACAUUUUAACUAAAAAAAGGAAAAAACAUCAGUUUAUUAAAAAAAAAAAACAUCAUAGUUUUUUUAAUUUUCUGGUCAAAUUUUCUGUCUAUUUUAGCACUUCUCUUUAAUCAAAUACGAAAUAUCUUAAAUUUUAUUAGUUAAUUUUCUUUUAUGUGAAAUAAUAAUUUUCUUCAAAGAUAACAAAAAUUACAUUCUGAUGGGAUGAGUGGGGUCCGGGUAAGUCAUAAUAACUAGGGGUGUGCAAAAAUCGAUUUAACCAAUAAAUCGAACCGAAAAAAACACUAUUGGUUUAUUGAUAUUGGGUUAUUGGGCUAACAGUUUUUAAACGGUUUUGCAAAUUGUUUUAUUGGAUUAUUGGUUCGGUUUCCGGUUUUAUGAUUUUGUUAAUGGUUAAACCGAUAACCCAAUAAGACUAUACUAAAUUUACUAGUCUUAUUGUUAAUGGUUAAACGAUUGUUACUUUCACACUUUUUCUUUUGAAUGUGUCUAGUGUCUAAACUGACAAGAAAAAUGAUUGUUACUUUUAUGAUUAUUACUUUCAUGCCAAAUGUUAGAAAAAUCAUAUGGUUUAUAUGAAAAUUUUCUUAUCGUGUAUAUAAUAUAUAUGAGUAUUUUCUUAUUGGUUAAAUCGAAAACCGAACCGUUAAGUAUCAUAAACCGAUUAACCAAAAACCGAUAAGAAAUAUGUUAUUGAUUUGGUUAUCGGUUUGAUGUAUUUACAAACCGAAAACUGAUAAACCGAACCAAUAACACAUAAAACCGAACCGAACCGACCGAUGCGCACCCCUAAUAAUAACAACAUGCCUCUUUAGACAUUUAAAAAAGGCUCAAACUUUAGUUUAUUUACUAAUGUAUACCAAUGGAUUUAAUGUAAAAUGAUGCAAAAACAAGGGGCAAAUGCAACUUUGAAAAAGUAGUGUAUUACCAACAAAAAGACACUGUGGGAAUCAAAGGAAAAAUCAUGAAGCAGACAACUCUCAAAGCAAAUUGUACUACCAUCCAAAGUAACGUAAAAGCAGAAUUAUCCAGUAAAUUAUCAACUUGCCCUUGUCUAGGAAGCAAGCAUGUUGAUGAACAGCUGCAUCCUAGACUCUUCUAUAGUAAUAAGGUAUGAAUCAAUUUAUGUAUUAUUUUAUGUAAUACGUAAUUAACUAAUGUAUAAAUAACAUGCGCGUGUAGUUCACGUGAUUCAUGGGAGCGUGAAAAGGAUCGUCAAUAGUUGGGCAUUUUGAAAUGGUUGUUGUGAGUUGUGACGGAAGCAAAAUGUGUUUAGUCCUCUCAAGAGCAUGAAAAGACAUGGUAUUAAAAAGUUGAUAAGUAAUUAAUUAGCACAUUCUAUCCACUGGUGUUAUCUUAUUUUAGAUUACCCUUUUUUGGGUAAUAACUACUACUCCCUCUGUUUCAUAAAGAAUGACCUGGUUUGAUUUGGCACAAAGCUUUAGAAAAUAAAGAAGACUUUUGAAUCUUAUGGUCCUUAAUUAAAGUUAUGCCAAAUGUACUAAAUUGCCCUUCAAUCUUGUGGCUUUAAACAUGUCACGUGAAAAGCUGAAAUUAAAAUGUUACCAAAAAAGAAAAGAGGUCAUUCUUUUUGAAGCAGACUAAAAGGAAAGGAGGUCUUUUUUUUUAAACGAAGGGAAUAUAUAUUAAAGCAGUUUUUUUUUUUCCAGAACUUGGCAAUUUUAAUACUAGCACAUUUGACCUUUUGUGUACUUUGGGUACCCUUUUGUCCACCCUAAUGUCAUUACCCGCCACUUUGCCUUACAAAUUUGGCAGAAAAUAAGGAGGAAGAAUUUAGAGUUAUGAAGAAGUUAGUGAAAGACUCUAGAAUCUCCUAUAUCUUUCCUUAGAAGACUCUAGAUUGCCUGAGAAAAUAUCUUAGAAAGGCUUAGAAUUCUCUAGACUAGUAGAAAAUUCUAGAUGAGGGACUAGAUAUUUUCAAGGAAGGCUUUGAAAUUCUCUAGAACUUGUAGAGAAUUCUAGAUUAGGACUAAAUUGUAAAUAUUGUAGAAACUUGUAAAAUAAUUAUUAUUUACACUUAGGUCCCUAGAAAAGUAGUGUAAAUAGAGGGCCUCUCAUUUGUAAAUCACCCAACAGGUUGUAAAACAUUCUCCAAGCAACACAAAGCCUUCUUCAAAAACUUUCCAAGUCUUUCUAAGUCUUAAUUGCAUUCUCUUAGCGAUCUUAGUUCAAAGGGAUUACUUGAGCUUACAAAAUCUUGAAAGAUUAGUGAGUAAUUUGUCAAGUGCCGCACGGAGCUUUAGUGAGACUCUAAGUCCGUGAAACUAAUCUCAACUUUCCUACCUACCUAAUGCCCCUUCAAAUUCUAUAAAGACAUGGGGGACAACUUAAUUAAGCUUUAAUUAUUUGUAUAAUUUUGUCUCUUAUUCUUGUUUGGGACAACUAGAUCUUUUAAUUAGAUUGACAAAUAUAUAUUUCUUAAUUAAUUUGAAGGGGUUCACAUUUGUAGUUGAACUAUUUCAUACAUUUCUAAACUUGAAGGGCAAGGUUUGUCCACUGUUCUCCAAAGCCUAGUUUCCGGAGGAUCCUCUUCAAGUAUUCCCAAGACACUCUAUCGUAAGUUCUUGUCAUGUCGAGUUUCAUCACCACAUUGCCACCCCUUGUUAGGUUUGUUGAUAUCACUAAUGAUUUCUUAAGCCAACAAAAAUGUUUUCCUAGAUAGAUCUUCCUUUUAUGAAACCACUUUGGUUCUUGCAGAUGAUCCUAGGAAAGAUACUAGAAAGUUUGUUGCUAAGGAUUUUGGAAAUAAUUUUAGAAAACACGUUACAAAGGCUAAUGGGUCUAAGAUCUGAAAAUCUUUAGGGAUGAUCAAUCUUGGGAAUCAUAACAAUGCAGGUGUGGGUAUAAAACUUGGUGAGGGUGACUCCUUUAAAAAAAGAAUUUACAGCAUUAUGAACAUCGAAUGAAAUAAUACUCCAACACUUAUGGUAGAACAUUCCACUUAAUCCAUCAGGCCCAGGCGAGCUGUUGGGAUCAAUAGAGAAAACAGUAUCUGUCACUUCCUUGAGCUCUGGGAUGGCAUUAAUCAUAAGGUUAUCUUCCUCUGUGAUGCAACUAUCAACACAAUCUAGGGCACUGUAAUCAGUAUUGGUAGAAUCUUGAGCAAACAGGUUCCGAUAGAAAUUCACCGCUCCAUUCGCUAUAGCAUCAGUGUCUUCCAGCCAGUUAUCAUUAUCAUCUUGGAUUCUUCUGAUAUUCAACUUCCUUCUUUUAUCUUUAAUGGUAGCAUGCAAAUAGGUUGUGCUAGCAUCUCCUUCAUUGAACCAUUUAACUCUAGCUUUUAGGCAUGGAAUGGAAUCUUGAAUUUUAAAAUAUCUGGUAAAAAUAGCUUUAUGCUUGGAGAGUUUGUUGACACCCAAUUUUGGACCUCCACAAUAUAAAUUAAUCACCGAGCUUCUUCAAUUUCGAACGAUUUGAAAUAAUUACUUUUAUAAAAUUCACAAAGUUUUCAAGUUAUUUUAAGUAGUUUUAUCAUGUCUUAUAAAUUUUGAAUAAUAUAUAUGUUUUAUAUAAUUAGUAUAUUUCUUAAAUAUUCGAAAAUCGUCUCAAAAAGAUUUUAUUUUGAUUAAAUCUUCAAUUGAAUCAACUGGGUUUAAAGUGUAUUCUUAAUUUGGAGUUAUUUAGUUUGUUAGCUUAAUUAUUUUGGAAGCUUGUUUUAUUAAUUUACUAUAACUUACGUUGUGGUUAUAAUUUUAAAUUACUUAGUCUAUAAUUAAGUUAGCUAUUUUAUUUCGUUAAGAUUAAAAAGCUCAUAAAUUAAUUUUAUUAAUUCGUCAUAUUUGAAGUUUAGCCGAAUCUCCUAAAAAUAAUUCUUUGGGUUACCUCUUUAAUUUGUUGGCUAAAUUGUCAAUUAAUUUUAUUACAAUUUUGGCCAAAAUCUAACAUCUUAUUGACAACCCAAAAGACCCAGCCCACUUCCCACAAAAAUCAGCCCAAUACAAAAAAAAAAUUUAAGCAAUGCAAUUCCAAAAAGAAACCCAUCAAUACCUACAUACAACGAUUACAACAGCACCAACCGACCCACCUCUACGCGCCUCACAUUUUUUUUCCCUUCUUCUCGCGUGAAUGCACAGAAGAAACCCAACCAGAAUCGCAUGCCCAGCAAGAUGAUUGUCGUCUUGUUCCUUUGUCUCGACAAAUAGUACGCUCAUUCAAAUUUUGAGCAGAGCAGGCAGCCACAGAUUUUGUCCUGGCAUUGAGAGAUCGCUCCACGUCGCACCUCAAGGACGGGAGAUCGAUCCGAGGCGUCCGUCUACCUUUCCUCUUUCGGAAUAGGACGAAUUUUCAGAGAAAAAGAUGUAUCUCCUUAAUGGUGAAAGCUUUUUUUUAGUUUGAAUUCGAAUUGGAAAUUAAAAAAUUUAAUCCGGUUUCCCCCCUUUUCAAUUCCUAUUUGACCCUCUAUAUAAACCCAUCUCUUUUACUGUUUGGGGGGAUUUUUUUUCUGAUAUAUUUUCCAUAACCUGAGACAAAUGAUUUUAACCACAAAAAUACAUUAAACAAUACUUAAAAGGGUGAAAAAUAAAUAAAUAAAUUGGUAGUCUUGUUCUCUUUUAAGUUUCAUUGCCGAACCUCUGUUUAUGGAGUCAAAAUCAGACAAGUGGUGGAGUUUGCUUCAUCGUUAAGCUUGUUGUCCCGGAAGCUGCUCCGAAAAAGGUAAAUCUCCUCUUGAUUUUAAUUUCUUGUUAGUUAAUGUUGUGUUUAUGCUUGUCAGUUAAUGUUGUGUCUAUGAAUAGAAUGAAAUUUUUCAAUCUUCUCUUAUGAAUUUUCUAUCGAUUUUAUCCCUUCCAAAUGCCUCUGUUUGUCUCACCUGUUAUUCUUCUUGUUGACGUUGGAUAAUAGGCGUUCUUGGUCCAAGUUUGCGUGUUUAUUUUAUUCGCGUAUGAAAUGUGUUUCCUAAAGGUUUACUAUUUGGACUUUAUUGUUGGAGUCGUAGCCUCAAGAUUCAUGUUCAAGCAGCCUAUUGUUGCUAAUGUAGCUCUAGUAUGCUCAAUAUCUUGUCAUUUUGGUUCUCGAAUGUGGGAUAUGGCUCCUGUAAUCAAUUUAUCUGUAGUGUUUACUUCAUAAUUUUGUUAGCCUCUUACAUAAUUUAGGCGAUUCGAUACGAUACACCGUACUACUUUUCUGUUGUAUUUGAUAGGAUUCGAGCAAUUAUUUUAGAAAGUUGAGUUUUCAUACUGUUAGUUGUAUGAAAGUUUGCCAGGAAGAAUUUGAAAGUUAUUAUGUCAUUGUUUAAACCUUGAAAUUAUUUAUCUUGGUCUCUCUUGAUUAUGUAAUAUCUCUUAGAGAACCUUGUAAACUCAAAUAUCCAUACAAAUUGGUUGAAUUCACUAGAGCAAAUUAAAUGAUUUAACACUAAGCAAUUUGUACUAUUUUUCACGCAAGUGAUUGUAUGAUACCAUGUAGUAACUCGUGAGAUUUUAUAAUAUGCUUACUAUGAUCAUUCUCUAGGCACAUUAGUAGAGCAUCUUCUUCUUCGUCUUUUUUUUAAUUUUAUUGUUAUUAUUAUUUUUUCUUUUUUUUCUUUUUUUUGCAAGUUUCAAGUUGACUACUUGGGUUGAUAUCAUGUGUACUAUAAUAUUUGCGCCAAUCUUGUUCAAACUCCUAAUUAGCAUGUGUUGAUAUGAGUAUUAAAAGCAUGUGUCAGUAAAUUGUUUGCCUGGAAUUUGGAAGUUUUUGAGCAUACCAUUGGUUAAAGUGAGUAGAUAUAGGUGUUAUUUAUCUAUUGUUCACUCUAUGUUUGUUUAUUUUUUUUUAUUUUUUUGAUUGAUCUUCCUCACCCAUGUGUUUGCGAUUCAUGCACUGUUCUCUACCGUUCGAAUACUUUAUUAUGCAAUUUUGAGUUAAUAUUAAUUCGUUACUCCUUUCUUUGUAUGUAUUGGAUUCAUUCGUGGACUCCUUUUCCUUGCAUUUCGAAAUGGGCCACGGAGGCCCAAGUUCAUUCUCCUUCUCGAGUCAACCCUCAAUCACCAACAUUGGAGCAAACAAACAGCUCCAAUUGGAAGCGAAAGGGGGUGUAUACGCGUUGCAUACAGUAUGAUACAACGGAAAGAGGGUCCAAAAAAAAAAUGCCCUAAAUUUUCAGCUUUGUAUUUUGUUACUUUGGGCCUAAGUCCUUGUCACUUUCAUUAUUAUUUUGUUAGAGUUUAGGACAGGUGGAAGAAUAUUGGGCCUAAGGCCCAAAAGAAAUAUCUUAUAUAUAUUAGACUAGGAUAGGUGCAGCUGAUUUAAAUGGGCCAAAAGCUCAAAACGAGAUUAGAUCCAAGUACUGGCCCAGGCGGACAGAAACCAGACUUGGGCCCAAAUCUCCCUCUCUCCUUAUUAUAUAUCUCGUGUUAAUUUUAUUGUUAGUACAUGCUUAUUUGCUAAUUAAUUUUAAGGUUCUUAACUCAUAAUUCCCCAAAGGACACCCAUUUUGAGUUAGCUAACUUAUAAUACUUUGUCUUAAAAUAACUAAGUAUACUUAUCCUUUUUCCAAAUUAAUUUCUAAAAAAUUUAGAAGCUUUUUCUCUACUUGGACAUUUUAGAUAAUAUAUUCCCUUUUCCUCUUUAAAUGAUUUUAGGUUAUAAAAUUUGUUCAUUCGGUAACUAGUCAAGCAUGCCUAUUGUUAGCCAAAUAAAUUAAUUGUCGGAUAACCGCAUUAGCGGAUAUUCUAGGUGCUUUAAAAACCUUCCUAGAAUAUUAAUAAGAACCCUGAACCCUUCUUUUUAAGUUUUCAUUAGAUUCUUGUUUUAGUCUUUUGAAAACAAUAGUUUUCUUGAUUUUUCUCAAAAAUUAAGUGGCGACUCUAAACCAGUCUAAGUUCUAUUUUUAAAUAAAACAGAGUUCACAUCUGUUCUUAAGAGAAUUUUAAAAUAUCUGGUAAAAAUAGCUUUAUGAGGUUCUUAAACAAUUCAAUCUCAACUUUUUGUGUCAUUUGGAAAUUGGGAUAAGACUCCUGACAGAGAAUUCAUGAACCAACUAUGUACAGUACUCUGUACCAAAGGCGACUAGUUUGAAUUUGAGACCUCUUAUUAAGGAUGAAAUAGUACUUAUCUUUUCACCACAAUCUUUGUUGGUGUGUGCUUGUUAUUAAUCGUUAUCUUGGUAGUAUAAAGAUAUUCAGCGGCGGCGAAGUCAACAUUUGAAGUUUAUGAAUUUAGAAUUUUAAUAUAUUUUCAUUAUUAGAUUCUUAGUUAAUAAUUUUGUAUAUUCAAUAAAUUUCUUAAACAAAUAUAAAAUUUUAACUAAAGUUCGAUCAAACACUUAAUUCAUAAACGCAAAGGGUUAGGUUCACCAAUAUUUUUUAAAAGCAGUACAGUUUGGCUAAAAAAUGAUAUGCAACUAAUAUAUGAAUUUAACAUGUCAUCAAGGGACCAAGUGUUUUUGCUUAAUUAAGACUAAACUAGAAAGAUAAACUCUAGAAUUACGUCAUUGUAAACAAAAAAUAUAAGCAAUUACUUAUCAUUUUUCUACCAAUUAUACCAUUGCAAAUGUUAUGACCUAAUAACACAUGUUACUUCUUUGUCAUUUAUAUUUUUUAUUUAUAAAAACACAAUAAUGCAAGUUCUUAAUUACCUAGUAUUCUUGAUCCGUUUUAAUUUAUUUAUCUUAUUUUUAUUUUUAAUUCAUUUCAUAGAAGAAUCGUUCCUUUUCUGACAACUUAUUCUUAUUUCUAACUUCCUACAUGAAAAUUUUAAAAUCACAAGAUCAAAUUGCAUUGUAUAUUCUACAUAUAUAUCUUUAGUUUUUUUUUAUUUUUUAAAUUUUAUGUUAAUAAAAACAGAUAAAUAAAUUAAAAUGAAUGUAAUGAAGUGUUUGAUUUGUUGUGCUGCAAAAUGGAGUCAAUUUAUAACUUUCAUGUAUCAGAUGCAAAGUCAAAAUUUAAAGUUUAUAGAUUUAGAAUUUUAAUUUUUUAAAGUUAGUGAUAUCUAAAUAGUUCUCAUCUGUUCCACUUGAAUUCAUUUAUUUGAUUUUUAAAAUGUGUUUGUGAUGCAAAUAAUUCCAAUUAACUAAGUCAUUAUUCUUAUACAAAAGACUAAUGUUUAAAUGGUUACGGUGCUGUUAAAUCACUUUGUAAUAAAAAGUUGCAAAUAUUCUGUCUAAAUGAAGUUGCAAUGCAUGUUCUUAUGGGUGGCAAAUUUUGCCCAUAUAUAAUGACUUGGAUCACUUAUAUUUUAAUUGGUUAAAUAUGAGUUUCAAGCUAUUUUAAGAGUCUCUACUAAUAUGGUCAAAAUGCGUUAAAUAUGGAUAUCCAUAUUGACCCAUAAUAGAUCACUUAGUUUUCACUCCACUCAAAAUUCUUAAUAAUGCUAAAAAAUAAAAAAAUUAAUAUUAAUUUUCAAACUUAAUUGAAAAAAUAGAUUAUUUUUUUUGUUUUUGGAAAACAAAAAAAAUUUAAGGGUAGGUUGGUGGAAAGGGGAGGCGCCCUGGGUGGGGGGUGCUCGGGGGAGGGGGUAAAUUUUUAUUUUUUUUGUUUUUGGAAAACAAAAAAAAAUUUAGGGGUCGGUUGGUNNNNNNNNNNNNNNNNNNNNNNNNNNNNNNNNNNNNNNNNNNNNNNNNNNNNNNNNNNNNNNNNNNNNNNNNNNNNNNNNNNNNNNNNNNNNNNNNNNNNCACUUGGGGAUGUCUAAGAAGUUCUGUGAGUAUCCAUAACGUUGAUGAUGCUGUAGUGUCCAUUGCAGCUAUAAGCAUGUCCUGUAUAGUAAAACGGAAACAGAGGAAUUAAUUAGUAGUACAAACCAUUUCAUUCUCAAGGCUUGUUGUAUAUUAAGCUUAUAUUAGUAUAUAUGACUUAUAAAUGGGAUGAAAGUACAUACAAAGAGGAUAGCUUUUAUGUGACGACGGUCAAACUGAAAUUCCGCUUCUCCAGAUUGCAUUAUGCCCAUCAUGGUGUCCACAAAGUCCUUGGUUUGCUUCUGGUCGUGUGAAUGAACAUGUUCAUCAAUAAUCUUCUCAAGGAACUCAUCAAACACCUUCGAAAGAUCCUUGAGCUUGCGAGUGAGACCCUGGAGAUCAAUAGCACCAAGGAAGGGGAAAAAAUCACCAAGAUUUGGCGUUGCUGCUAAAUGCACAACAUCUUGAACAACAGAUUUGAAUCCCCUCUUGUCCAAGUCCUCAUCCAUGUACUUCUUUCCAAACACCAUUAAACAAGUCAAGUUAGCACUCAAGGACGUAAUCUUUGCACUAAGAUCAACAACUACACGAUCAUGAGCUUCCUUUUUAAGCGACUCAAUAAGAAGUUCAACUUCUUGUUUUCUGAUGGAUUGAAAUGAAUUGAUCUUGUUAUUGCUCAAAAGGUGCACAGUGCACAAUUUGCGCAUGUUACGCCAAUACACACCAUACUUUGCAAAUAUCAAAUUCUUCUGUCCAUAAGACAAAUAUUGAGAUGCCUCAUGAUGAGGCCUAGUAGCAAAUAUGUGAUCAUAUGUCUUGAGGACCUUUUCAGCUGCAUCAGCAGACGAGGCAAUGAUUGUAGGUACUAGUCCCAAUCGGACAUACAUAAUAGGACCAUGUUUGUUGGCUAGUUUUUGUAAAUCUUGGUGUGGAUUUUUGCCUAACAAAUGAAGAUGUCCUAAAAAAGGAAGCCCUUUUGGACCUGGAGGAAACUUUUUCCUCUUGUGAAUGUUUAUCAGCUCAUACAAGGCAUAUGUAAAUAGACAAAACACUAGAGCUGUCCAUAUCAAAGUCAUUGAGUUGGAAAUGCAGGGGAAGAGCAGUAAUAGAUGAGUUAAGGAUGUCAUCACUAAGUAUAUAUGCAAUAUUCCUAUAAUUGAUAUGCAGUGUAUCAAGUCAAAUUACUCAUAGAUGAGCCCAGAAGUCAAUUAAUACUCAACCAAUCUGAUAAGUCUGGGAAUGGGACAAAUGACUAUACACACAUUUUAAUAUCAGCAGCCCAUGUUAUAUCUCUUGUUUUCUAUUUCUUUUCCAAGAAAAAUAUAUAUACUUGUCAUUCACUUAAACAUUAUGGUUGAAAUCUUUGAAUCUACAUUACUGUUAAAGUUUAAAAAAAAAACAAAAACAAAUCUGACCGCCCUUUUAUCUUAAAAAAAUAUUAAAGAUCAGUGAAUCAUUUCUGAAUAACAAUAAAUAUACAUGUGUCAUUUUAACUUGUCAUGUAGAUGUCAUGUAAGGCGCAUAUGUUUAUUUGUUCAACUUUAAAUAAGUUUAAAUGUCCUAUGUGUAUUAUGCUAGGAUAUGUGUGUUCACUUGUUCAACUUUAUAAAAGUGUAAGAGUCUGAUUGUGCAUACUCAAAGUUGGUGGGCAUAAAUGUCAACUGAAACCAAAUUAAAUGACACAUUUAUGUAUGGCAUAAUUCAUAUAACUUAGCCUCAUUUUAUAUUUAUGUCGUCCAACUUUGGAUGUACAUAAAUAAACAUUUAAACUUGUAUAAAAUUGAAUAAGUAGACACAUGAGGACUCGGCUCCCCUCUAUUGGCCAUCUUCUCCAGUUCGUCCAGUGCUGCCUUAUAUUUGUUACACGUGUCUAGUUUGUGACUCCACGGACAUGAUUUAUUUACUAACUAAAAUAUCUUAACAAUAGUCUCUUUUCUUUUCAUUACACUGUACCAGAAUUAGUUUCCUCUUUCUUUCAAAUGUCGCAGAGAGAGCCCUCUUCUCCUCCGCCGGCGAACCACCCUGAAUUUCGCACUCGCAAAAUUAAAUACUGGACUUUCAUCAUAUAUUGUGAUUUAUUUAUUGAUAUCCUAAAUAAAAAUUAACCUUACCAAUCUCGAAAUAAUACAUAAAUCAUGAAAUAUAGUGUUGUUCUGACUUGUGAAAAUUAUGCAUGUAUCUGGCUUAUUUAUAGUAAAACUAGUCUUACUAUAAAGAGUGUUUUGAAGUAGUUAUCUUCCAAAUCAUCACUUACUCGUUUGACUUGGAAAAAGAUUCAAGAGAUGUUAGCUUUCAAUUGUUGUUACCAAUUGUCCAUCCAUGGUUGAAUUCCAUAUAUACUUUUAUCAGAGACCUAAAAUCUUUUUCUUGACCGGCAAUUUGUUCCCUUUUUGUUGAAAUCGUUGCUUUAGUUUUACUUGGUGGUAGAUUUUUCUUUGUGCAAUUCAAUUUACAAACUUUUGUUUACAGUGUUAUGAAACAAUAAGAGAGCCUAUCAAUUAUGCCGGCGGAACUUCCAAGUUCGGGGAUGAAUAUGGACUAAAUACAAUUUGCCAGAUUUUACUUUGUAAAGACUCUCUUAACUAUGGUUAGUAUAUAGUAGUUAAUAAAUAGAUCACAUCCAUUGAAAUUUUAAGUGGACACGUGUAACAAAUAUAAGGCAAUACUCGACGAACUGGAGAGGAGCCGCGUCCGACACAUGAGUCAUAUGUGGCAUACAUCAUGUAAGACUCAAAUUGUCACAUAGGAUGCCACGUAAGACGCAUAUGUCUAUUUGUUCAACUUUAUACAAGUUUAUGUGUCUAUUUGUACACACCCAAAGUUGAAAGACAUAAAUGUGAGCUAGGGUCAAGUUAAAUGACAUAUUUAUGUAUUAUGCUUUUAUGUAUUUUGCCUUUCUGAAUUGGUGAAUAUUUUAAUCGAUAACUAAUUAUCAUUUACAAAAUUGUGACUAUACACAUAGAGAGUGUAGGUUUUUACACUAUCAAGACAACAUAAUAGUUCAUAUGUGUUCCGAUCAGAGAGUACGUCCUAGUCGUAACUCAUAACAUGGUGCUUAGAGUCACAAGUGAUUCUGAGCUAACCCUUGAUAUUGACACAAGUCAUAAUCAACUAAAUAUAUACAUAAAUAAGAACUUAAAUGGCUGAGUGGAAGCAUAAUUAUGGAAUAAGUUAAUUCAAUACAUUACUGAACAAAGUUUGGUUUACAAUAAUUAUAAUCUAUAAAGAAACUGAAACUAAGUAGAUUGAAUAAUCAACUCUAACUGAUUGUCUAUGAAGCUUCUACUAAUACUGAAUACAAGUAGUCAGGACAUGAUCCCCUACUACCCUUAAUAAAUACAUAUAAAAACAAAUAAGAUACUAGAAUUACAAAUUGACUUGAGUCCUCAAACAAAGAGAACUCAUUACCUCCUGGUUGUAAGCUGUGAUAUGCAUGACCAGGAUCCUAAUAGAAGCAUCUGAAUCUACAUCACAUGAAUAAUAUAUGCAACAGAUCAGGUAUGCGAUUAGUACUUUGAAUUUACUGAGUAUGUGAGAUAUGCAUGAUAAUUUGUAAAGCUCAACAUGAAGAAUUCAAGAUACUAACUUAAUACGAAACUAAUACAUAUAAUUUGAUGAAAUGAUCAAGUAGUAAAAUAGGCAACUGAUAAAUAUUGAUUGAAAUAACUGAAUACAAGGUCAUGCAAUAUCUGAGAUUAAAUUGUGGAAGGUACUAUUAACCGACAUAUAAAAAUGUGACCUAAACAUGAAGUUUGAUGUAUAAUCCCCAUUGAAAAGGGUCAAACAUAACUUGCCAAGAGGUAAAAGUUGAUCUGAUCUGAUGUGGCACCAUUAAGCUUAUAAAAUGUGUCCACUAUGGGGUAAAUAAACCUAUGGUAACACGUAAUUUUGAGACUUAGGUAUACUAGCCCUAGUCUAAUUUGAUGCUAAGCACUACUUCCAACCGAACAUAACCGAUAGCUUCUGAGAAUGUUUUUCAUAAUCAUGGAUGCCAUACUUGAUUGGCAUACUACUAGUGAACUUUGUUUGUAUAAGAAAACUGAUCCACGAUCAUUGGUGGCAUUCCGGAUAUCAUACUUUUGGGAAAAUGUUCAAAAAAUAUUGAUGACAUAUCUAGAUGUCAUGCAUGUCGUAUAUCUUAAUGUUAUGAGUUGAAGCUCCUGAAUACUAAAAUCUAGUAGUGGAGUAAUAGAUACUUUAUCUGGAGGCCUCUUAUGCACGUUCAAUUGAAAAGCUGAAUGUAAAACAAAUCAUGAAAAAUUAUGUAUUCUGACUAAGACAUGAAAUUUAAAAGAUAUAAGUCUAAAGACAUGAAAUUUACUUGUCCUGAGGAUUCUUGAAAAUAUACUCAAGUAAAUAUACAAAAAUAUAUGGAAAACCAUGUAUUUGUAGACUAUCCGUGAGAAAAAACUGCUAAAAAACAACGGACGGCAUCGCUCCAAAAAGCGACGCCAUUUGCCACACUGUCCGUCGCUUUUUAAUAAAAAUAACUAUUUUUAAAAUUAUUUUACAAAAAGCGACAGACGACAUCUCUUAGUCCGUUGCUUUUUUUCGCGGAUUUUUGGGCCAAAUAUAUAUAAAAUUAAUAAUUAUUUAUUUAAUAUAUAUAGCGACGCCGUCCGUCGUUUUAUUAAAAAUAAUUAUAUAUUAAUUAAAAUAUUAACGACGUUGUCCGUCGCUUGAUAUUUAUUUUAUUUUAUUAAAUAUUCUUUUUAUUAUAUCGACAGACGACAUCUUUAUGUUCGUCACUUGUAGUCAAAAUAGGUCGGUCAACUAUUUUUAAAAAGCGACGGACAGUGUCUCUUUUUCCGUCGUUUUUUGGUCAAAAUGUUGGUCAACUUUUUAAAUGAAAAGCGACGGAUGGGGAGACGUUGUCCGUUGCUUUUCAUUAAAUAUCUGAAAUAGCAGACGCAUUUUUCCCCAUUUUCCCUCUCUUCCUUCUCUCUUCUUUCUCUCUAAAGAUUCCGCGGCUGCUUCCGUUGCUUGCCACCACCGCUGCUGUCAACGCCGCUGCUGGAAUCACUGCUGCCGUCACUACUUCCUCUCUCCAUUGUCUCUUUCUCCAUUAAUUUAAGGUUAGGGUUUUAUCAAAUUAGUUUUAAAUUUUUUCAAUUUUAGUUAUAGUUGAUUAUGUUAAUUAGUUUAUUGGAUUUGUGUUUUAUUGAAUGAUUGAUUGUGUUUGAUAGUGUAUUGAAUUAGUUUUUUAUUCAUUAUUAGUUUGGUUGAUUGUUAGUUAGUAAGUGAAUGAUUUAGGGUUUUUGAUUUUGUUAAUUAGUAUUGAAUUUGUUUUUUAUUGAUUGUUAUAAGUUUGAUUGAAUGAUUGUUAGUUAGUUAGUGAAUGAUUUAGGGUUUUUGAUUUUAGGUAGGAUUGAUUGAUUAUUAUAAGUUUAGUGGAGUGUUAAUCUAGAUGAAUUGAAAUUUGAUGAACUGAAGUUAGAUUUAGAACUUGAUUUUGAAAUUUGAAUAUAACUAAUUAAUUCUUGAGUUAGAAUUUUAUGUAUAAUUAAUUUUAGAAAUUGGAUAUAUAUGAUGAAUUUAAUUAGGACUUGAAGUUGUUGAACUUAAUUAAAACUUGAAUACAGUUAUUGAACUUGAACUUGAAUAUAAUAACUAGCUAAUUUUUGGAUUUGAAGUUUAUGUAUAACUAAUUUUAGAACUUUGAUAUGAACUUGAAUUUAGAACUUGAACAUUGAACUUAGAACUUAAUAACUAAUUCUUGAUGACCUCAAUUAAUUUGAACUUAAUAAUUGAACUUUGAACUCAAUUAACUUUGUGAUAAUUUUUGUGUGUCCAUCGAGUGCUUGUUAAGCAUAAGCAUCAACACUAGUUGAUCGUAUUGAUGACAAAAUUGAUUUUCUUGCAAGAUCGAUUUGUGUCCAUCUAGUGUUGACACUUAGCUUUAAAAAGUUGUUAAGUUGUUNNNNNNNNNNNNNNNNNNNNNNNNNNNNNNNNNNNNNNNNNNNNNNNNNNNNNNNNNNNNNNNNNNNNNNNNNNNNNNNNNNNNNNNNNNNNNNNNNNNNNNNNNNNNNNNNNNNNNNNNNNNNNNNNNNNNNNNNNNNNNNNNNNNNNNNNNNNNNNNNNNNNNNNNNNNNNNNNNNNNNNNNNNNNNNNNNNNNNNNNNNNNNNNNNNNNNNNNNNNNNNNNNNNNNNNNNNNNNNNNNNNNNNNNNNNNNNNNNNNNNNNNNNNNNNNNNNNNNNNNNNNNNNNNNNNNNNNNNNNNNNNNNNNNNNNNNNNNNNNNNNNNNNNNNNNNNNNNNNNNNNNNNNNNNNNNNNNNNNNNNNNNNNNNNNNNNNNNNNNNNNNNNNNNNNNNNNNNNNNNNNNNNNNNNNNNNNNNNNNNNNNNNNNNNNNNNNNNNNNNNNNNNNNNNNNNNNNNNNNNNNNNNNNNNNNNNNNNNNNNNNNNNNNNNNNNNNNNNNNNNNNNNNNNNNNNNNNNNNNNNNNNNNNNNNNNNNNNNNNNNNNNNNNNNNNNNNNNNNNNNNNNNNNNNNNNNNNNNNNNNNNNNNNNNNNNNNNNNNNNNNNNNNNNNNNNNNNNNNNNNNNNNNNNNNNNNNNNNNNNNNNNNNNNNNNNNNNNNNNNNNNNNNNNNNNNNNNNNNNNNNNNNNNNNNNNNNNNNNNNNNNNNNNNNNNNNNNNNNNNNNNNNNNNNNNNNNNNNNNNNNNNNNNNNNNNNNNNNNNNNNNNNNNNNNNNNNNNNNNNNNNNNNNNNNNNNNNNNNNNNNNNNNNNNNNNNNNNNNNNNNNNNNNNNNNNNNNNNNNNNNNNNNNNNNNNNNNNNNNUUAAGUCAAUACUAAACUAGUUUUAGGACUACUACUAGUAAAAUUAUUAUUAAAUUUUAUUUAUAAUAUAAUUGAAUAUCUAUAUUUUUGUAGAUGGAUCAUCGUUUGUGGAUGUAUAAUAUGCAUUAUGAAACUGGUGCUGGUUUGAAACCUGAGUUUAUUGACGGUGUUAGAAAUUUUAUUGAACAUACAAUGACACUUGACAUUUUCAAGAAGAAUGGACUGGUUAGGUGUCCUUGUAGUGCAUGUAAGUCUUUAAAAUUUUAUAAACCAGAUACAGUUAUGGUUCAUUUGUACCGUAAUGGAUUUAAGCCUAGAUAUUUUGUAUGGAUUGAUCACGGAGAAAUAGAUGGAUUGAAUGAUAUGUUUUAUAAUUCGAUGCAUUUGGAUGAAUAUAAUAUGAUUGCAUCACAUGGUCAAAUUAGGGUUGAACAUGAUAAGGUUCACGAAAUGAUCAAUGAAACUUUCGGGGCUCAAGGUGGGAUGGAACCGGAACAAUAUUUUUGAUGAAGCUCCUAAUGAAGAAGCAAGACGGUUCUAUGAUAAAUUAGAAGAGUCUAGUCAUCCAUUAUGUGAAGGGAGUCCGCAUUCUGCCUUGUCAGUUGCGGUUAGAUUAAUAAAUAUUAAAUCAUAUUGGAAUGUUCCUAAUGCGGCUAUGGACUCAAUGGUUGAUCUUUCGGGUAAACUAGUUAAUCCGAAGUUUAACAUACCUAAGAACUUCUAUCAGGCAAAACGUUUGGUUUUCAAGUUAGGAUUGACGUAUGAUAGAAUUCAUUGUUGUGUUAAUGGUAGCAUGUUGUUUUACUAGACUGAUAGUGAAUUAGAAAAUUGUAAGUUUUGUGGACAUGCUCGUUAUAAGAGGACUCCGGCUGGAAAGAUGGUCCCAGUUAAGGCGAUGCAUUAUCUACCUCUCAUUCCUAGGUUAAAGAGGUUGUAUGCAUCGAUGAGGUUUGCCCCAUAUAUGAGAUGGCAUCGUGAAUAUAGAAGGUCGCCGGGUGUCUUGUCUCAUCCAUAUGAUGGUGAAGCAUGGAAGCAUUUUGAUAAUGUAUAUCCUGAUUUUGCUAGUGAACCAAGAAAUGUUAGAUUGGGGUUGUGUGCAGAUGGCUUCACACCAUUCUCUAAUUCUUCUUCUCCUUAUUCAUGCUGGCCGAUAUUUCUUACUCCGUAUAAUCUUCCUCCUGAAAUGUGCAUGACCAGUCCUUACAUCUUUCUAGUGAAAGAAAUAGCACUUGGACCUUAAUCUCAAGUACUGACAAUGAAUCAGUAUUGUGUCAAUGGUUUUAAGUUUCAAACUGAAGAUGUUUCUAGGAACAAGAAAACAAAUAAUAGUGGUGUCUACAUACAAGGUGAUGUUGAUAGUACUGGCAAAACUAUUGAAUAUUAUGGUGUCAUUCAUGAGAUUAUUGAAGUGAGGUAUUCAGGUUGGCCUAAGAAGAAGAUUGUAUUGUUUCGGUGUGAGUGGUUUGACCCAUCACAUAGAGGCACAAAGGUGGACCAUCAACAUAAUAUAAUUGAAGUUAAGCACACCAGGAAAUACAGAAGUUAUGAUCCUUUUAUCAUUGCACAAAAUGCUAAACAAGUGUAUUACGCUCCAUAUCCAUUGAGUAGAAACAAAGCUGAUUGGGGGGUUGUUAUAAAAAGUAAGCCUGUGGGAAGAAUUGAAAUUGACAAUGUCUUAGAUGUGACAUAUAAAAAUAAUGUUGCAAUUGUUCAACAACAAGUUGAUGUUGAAUUGGAAACCACACUACAACAUCCCCAACACAUAUUAGAAGAAGUAUCUGAUGAUGAGAUACUGAAUGUUGAGGAAGAAAUAUCCGAGAAUGAGGAAAAUGAAUCAUUUGAUGACAAAGAAUGGGACGAUAAUGAAAAUGAAACAACUGCGGAGGAAGAAUGAGAGAAUAAUGGAAUUAAAACAAGCGAGGAGGAAUAGUGUAGAAUGAAAGCUAGCUAGUAUAUAUAUGUAAGUUAGUGUAUUUUGUCUAAUUUUAUUUAAUUUAUGAUUUUUAUAUAUAUUAUACAUGUAAAUUUGCAUACAGAUGUCAUCAGACGGUGACAGUGAUAGACAUCGCGAGCAUCUUGGAGUUAGCCAGACUAAACAUGCUAAAAAGAAGAAGUCUAGGAGACCCAUAGAUCCUGAGGAUAUUGCAGGAUCUAUUUCUUCUGCCACCAGAGCGCAUCAGCCAUGAUACUCAUUUAUUUGCUGUUUCGUUUGGUACGACAGAUCCUCGGUAAUAUUAUCCUAAUUACCGUCGACUAGUCGGUGCUUCCUCUACUUCACAGACAUUGCCUUCACGACGCUACGAGGACCUACCUUUACAUGCUAUUCAUCGAGCAUGACCCUUAUCGGCAGGUACUCCAUCUCCCACAGGUACAUCUCCUUAAUUAUCUGUCAUGAGGAUUGGAGAUUCUAGUAGCGAGCAGUCAGAUGCUAUGGCCGGUAUGCCUCUAUUGACUCAGCGUUUUGUGCAUCCUGAUGUAUCACCCUCAUCUACAGCUACACCUAGUGUUACACCAGAUGAUGUGAUGCCUGUUCUAGCUCCAGGCCAGAAGGACAGACUUGGUAGAGUCAUGAUUGAGCCUGAUGGAUCAUCGUAAGUUUGUUUUGUUAUGUAUUUGUUAGUUUAUUUUAUUUUUUUCUUAUACUUUAAUAUAUUAUUCAUGAACUAACAUAUUUAUUAUGUGUUUUGCAGGUGCCAUCUUGCAAAGGAUGCUGCCCGGGCUUUAAAAGGCUGUGUUAGAAGACUUUAUACACAGGCUUAUCACUCUUGGAGCGAGAUUCCAAACAGUAUACGCCAGACGAUGUUUAAUAACUUUAAGGUAUAUAUUUUUUAGUUAAGUUUAGUAUACUUUACUUUUUUUUACUGUCGAUCUAAUUAACGUUAUUCAAUUUUUUUUCAUACUAUGUGUACUUGGGAGUCGAGGUACAAUUUGGUCAUUGGGACCACAUUUGAGAGGAAGGCAUCCGCCAAACUGUCUAGCUGGCUAAAGAGAGUCCGGGAUAGUGGUGAACGUCCGAAUUGGAUGUUGCCAUCAUGUUUUUGAUGAAUUGGGUCAAUAUUGGAACACAAACAAGUUUAAGGCAAUAUCAAAACAAGCCAAAAAGGCUAGAGGCAAUCUUAAGAGUGACUCGUUGCACACAGGAAGUGCAAAGAUCGUUGGAACAAUUGCAUGAGAGAUGGUAAGUUCUAAUUCAAACUUUUAAAUAAAUAAUUAGUUGAUUCAUAUAUAUCGUUAUAAAUUUCAGUUUUUAUUUAUAGGAAAAAGAAUUGGGAUGCACUCCCAUUGAAUUGGAGGUUUUCAAGAAGACUCAUGUCAGGAAGAAAGAAAAUGAGUUGGAUCCGGAUAUGUGGGUGGAGGAAAGGGCCGAACGAACUUUUGUAAGUUAUUUAAUAUGAAUAAUUAUAUAAAUAGUGAAUAUAUUUAUGACAAGUAUAUAUAUAUUGAUGUCAAUUUUUAUAUUUAACGAGCAGAAUGACUUUUAUCAGUACGUCACUGAGAAUCUAGAUAGUUCGGUCCAANNNNNNNNNNNNNNNNNNNNNNNNNNNNNNNNNNNNNNNNNNNNNNNNNNNNNNNNNNNNNNNNNNNNNNNNNNNNNNNNNNNNNNNNNNNNNNNNNNNNNNNNNNNNNNNNNNNNNNNNNNNNNNNNNNNNNNNNNNNNNNNNNNNNNNNNNNNNNNNNNNNNNNNNNNNNNNNNNNNNNNNNNNNNNNNNNNNNNNNNNNNNNNNNNNNNNNNNNNNNNNNNNNNNNNNNNNNNNNNNNNNNNNNUCACUAAAAGUUUUUAACAUUAAAUUCUAAUUUUGUGUUUUUUUCUUCAUUGUUUUUAAAAAACCAACUAUGAUAUCAAUUAAGUAGGAGUUUGAAGACACUAUAUGUUUUAUUUUUAUGUCAUUUGUAAAUGUAUAAAAUGUACAAUGAUGCAUUAUAUAUAUAUAUAUAUAUAUAUAUAUAUAUAUAUAUAUCGCAAUCGAAAAUUAAUUAUCAUAUUUUUUUGUUGAAAAAAUAGGUUUUACUAGCGAAUGGUUGUUGGAGCCUUAGUCGCCACUAAAAAUCACUCAUAACCUUUAGUGACAAUAUUUUGGGAUUUUGUGGCGACUUUGUCGCCACUAAAAGUCAAGUUCUUUUGUAGUGAAUCUUAGUUGGCAAUGCUUAGGUGGAGGGAUUAGUCCCAUGUUGCUUGCCACGUCACUAAAAAAUUGGGGUAUUAACUCUUGAGGGUAUUUGUGGUCUCCUGGGAUAACUGUGGGGGUAUUUUUGAUCCCAAAAUGUAAUUGAGGGUAUAAGUGGUCUAUUUCUCAUAGUUCAGGGGCAAUUUUGACCCUUUUCCGUAUAUUUAAUAUGCAAAAUGAGUUUCAUCAGUACGUCGCUGAGAAUCUAGAUAGUUCGGUCCAAUUGACACCUGAACUUUCCACCCAGAUUUGGAAAGAAAAAGUGGUAGGGGGGACACACAAGGGUAGAGUCUAUGGUUUAGGCUCUUGAAACGAUGUAAGAUGACUCCAUUCAGGCUUAGAAGGUAUUGGAUCAUCAUGUCAAGCUGAGGCACUUGACGGCGUUCAGAUUGUUGCUAUGUCGGCUCAAAUAGCUAAACUUAUAGCGGCACUGGUAGAGUCGGAGUGGAGAAGAGUAGCUGAACAAAAAAGCAUGAGUGAGACCGUUCAGCAAAUCAAAGAACAAGUGAUGAACCUCGCUCAACGACCUACUACUUCGGCUCCCGAUGAUACCGACGACGAGAGUGAUGAUGAUGAUUAUGUAGAUCCCACUCCCUAGUUUAGAUCUAUGGACAUUUAUGAACUUUUUGAAAUUUUGAAACGAAUUUUGAAAGGCUUUAUAAGUCUUUAAUUUGUGAUUUAGAUACUUUUGAAUGUUAUUUUAAGUUUGUUGUUUUAUGUUUUGUUUAGAUUGUUUAUACUUGUGUAUGUUUAAUUGGGCUGAAUAUUGUAGAAUUGAAUUGAAUUGCAUUUGCAGGUGGGCACCAGAAAUUGCCAGUUUCUGCUGUAAAAAAUAUUGUAGAAAAAGCAACGGACAACGUGGUUUUGUCCGUCGCUUCUCAGGGUUUUAUUAUUUUUUUAAAUCCCAGAAAAGCGACAGACAACAUGGUUUUGUCUUUCACUUUUCAGGGAUUUUCAAAAAUAAAUUAUCCAGAAAAGCGACAGACAGGGUCCUUUUGUCCGUAGCUUUUAUGGGAUUUUCUGUCACGCCCCGAGUCUACACCCUGGGCGGGACUGACACUCGAAGACCAUUGCUAGCCCCAAGCGAACCCUGGGCCUGACUUACUUAACUCAGCGGAAGACAAUGUGCAUAUUAAUAAAGAUCAAUAGCGCUUAAUUGAACUGAAUACUAAAAUAACUGAGAAUGCUUAAAGGUUAUACAUUCAACUUGGCCAAAAGUGGAAACCCAAGUCUUAACAAUAAGAAUGAUAAUGUAAAGACUACUGAACUACUAACUAUCUAUGAAGCCUCUAAAACAACUGAGAUGGAUGUUGGGACAAACCCCACAACAUCCUAAUGAACUAAACUAGAAAGCGAAUAAAAGAGUCCUCCGAAAUGCAAGGAGGCUCACCAACAGACUCUGAAUGCUCUAAGAUGGAUCAACGAGGUGCUGGAUGCUGAUCCUGAUUACCUACGUCUGUAUAUAAUACAAUGCAGGCCAACUAGCAUUAGUACAUUGAAUGUACGAGUAUGCGAGUUGGAAUGCUAACAUACACAGGCUUGAAAAAGAUUAUGAAAGAAACACUUACCUUGGCUCUUCUAAACUCUUGAAUAACUCAAUUCCAUAUAAAGCAAUAAAACACAUGCGAUAUAUAUAUAUAAAGCUUAUAAAACAACUGAAAACAAUCUUAGUUCGUUUAAAGAUAAAACAAUAACAAACUUAACUUUACUUCAUAUAAAAAGUAAAAUAACUUAUAUGGGAGAUUCUCUAACCGACAACCAUCACUAUGAGCCUAAGUGAUGGUACAACACUUUACCUCACGUUGCCAAGGACCAUCCUAUACCUUGUCAUCGGUAUAGAACCUAAACUACUAAGUGGAUCUACUAGUUUAUGCUGAAAAGCACUAAGGAAUCUUCUAAAAAGUAUGACCCUUUUUCUCCCCAUGAUGGCUAUAUGGUUUAUGGGGGCUUGAGUUAAUAUGAACUCGCGUCCCCAUAUCGGUGCUCAAUACUACUCCCAAAAUAUACUUAGCUCAUAUGUUUUAACACAACUUCUUCUCUGGUUUGAGAUAAUUACUCAAACUUAGCUUAAAAGCUCUCUUGGAAUCAAUGUUCCCUAUUUUUGUUCAAAACUCUUUUGGAAAUCUCAGUUUCCUCUCAUCUUAAAUGUGAAAACAUUUACUCUUGGGAAUACUUAGUUCCCAUAUAUCAUUUUAAAGAAAAUGAACUUUGCUCGUACUCUUUACUCAACUUCAAAACUUAAGUAUUAAAACAAAGUUAAAACGUUUGUAAAAGACUUAUGAAAACUUGAAAUAAACUUCUCUUACUUGACUCUUGACUUCUCUUGACUUGACUCAUAACUGAUCCUUGAAUUGAAUUAUGGAUUCAAGGAUUAAGAUUUGUGAUUUGAAAGAUCUCAUGUUGUUUAGGAAUGGUUUUAGAUAGCUAAACAUGAGAAAAGAUCGAAAAUCAAAAUAAGAAGGUGGGUCCUCGACGCGGAGGCAUAAUUAAAUUUUGGUUUCAAAAACGUCUUUUGAGGUAGAACGCUUUGUGACAACUCCGCGACGCGAAACAGAAAUUUCCAAAUCUGGGAACCUACUCCGUGACACGCUCCUAGCAGACGAAAUUUCUUCUCCGUUUUCCAACCCCAAUUCACCCAAACUCGGUUCUUUUUCUCAAUUUUCUUUUAGAUACAGAUACCCAGCAAAUGUACCUAAGAACCUAACUCGAAACGACUCUAUGAUGCGACGUACGAACUCAGAAACUUCCCAACUCAGUCAAAUUCAAGAACAAUAUAUGAAUUCAAGAAUAGAUAUCAAGAUCAUCAAUAUUCAAACUCAUUUAGGUCGAAUCCAAAUUGAAGUUAAUAUUAUUGGCCCGUGGGAGAAUGAUCCCAACGUUAUGAGAGCCUCACAUACCUGAUAAAAGUAAAUCCUUGGCGAAACACCAACUUUCUUGAUCGAUCUUGAUGAAUUUGCCCUCUUUCUCAUUCUUCUUUUCUCUUCUCCUUUCUCCUUAGCCCUAGCGUGAAAUCCCAAAUUCUAAAAACUGGCUAAAAAUCUGAUUUGACCCAUAUUAAACUCCUAAAAAUGGAUUAAAAUAAUUGGGCAACGAAAAGACUAAAAUACCCCUAAAAAUUCUGGAUUGGACAUUUCCUUAAUCCAGUAGCCCAACUUCCAAAGGGCAUAACUCACUCAUACGAACUCGGAAUCGCGCAAACUUGGCGGCGUUGGAAAGAUCAUUCCAAGAGAUUUCCAACCAUAUUUGGAACUACACCUAACUCAUCCUGAUCUAGGAGUUAUGACUAUUUGAAGUUGACCAAAAACUCACUUUUCCUAACUUUAACAAUUUUUCAGAUUUUAAACUUCCUUCUAGUUCAUUUUAGUUGCGAGAUGUUACAUUUUCAAAAAUAAAAUUUUCAGAAAAAAUUGACGGACUGCGUCGCCUUUUAGAAAUAAAAAAAAAUUAAAAUUAAAAUAAAGCAACGGAGUCCGUCGCUUUUGUUAAAAAAAAGUCAAAAAGCGAUGCAGUCCGUCGCUUUUUGAAAAGCAUCGAGCUAAAAAGCGAUGGAGGUGACUGCGUCGCUUUUCUGUCGAUUUUGACCAAAAAAGCGACCCAAUCCGUCGUUUUUUGACAAUUUUUUAGUAGUGAGAUAUUAAAAUUGAAAUUCAUGUUGAUCAUAAGAAACCUAGAUUUCUAUAGAUUUCAAAUAAUUGAAAUACGGAGUUCUCUUUGAAAUUUAAUUGGUGAAAAAAACCUAUUGAUGAAAUCUCGCAUACCUAAAUUUCACGAAUUAUUAGAGAAAAGUUUUGGGCUUACAACUUUAUAACUUGAACUUGAGAAAUCCUUCUAUAGACUUCUUCAAGAUGAAGUUUGUGAAGAAUCUUGAUUGGAAAAUUCUAGGAUUCUUGAAGAGAAUCUUGAACUUGGAAAAAUCUCUUUCUUGACAUUCUUUAGUUUUGGGAGAAGAAGAAUUAGGGAUUUAACAGGGGCGGCUCUAUGCUUUGUAAAAUAAGGCUUAUGCCUUAGGCCCCAAAUUUUGGGGGCCCCAAAUUUUUAUUAAGAAUAAAUUAUGUGUUAAAUUUUUAUAGUAAAAAUGGAUUAUUUAAGAUAAAAAGUAUAAUAUUUUAAAAAAUAUAUUAUUUCACCCACUUUAACAUCUUUUGUACUUUGUUAAAUAAGAAUUAAUAGUGAAAAGUGUUGAACAAAUUGUAUUACAAAUUCUUUUUUAUUUGUUUUAAAAUUUUGGUUUCAAGCAUUAGAACAAGCAUAUUAAAAUGGGGUAUACCAAGUCAUCAACUUCUUGAGAUUCUAUGAUUCUACUCUUAUCUUUAUUUAAUAUUUGUCAACUUAUUACUUAUAGAAUUAUGUUAACAAUUCAUAUAAUAAUUGCCUCACUGAAAGGAGGUAUUUCAAUGUUGAGCUGAUAAAAUCUUACCUAAAACUAAUAAUUGAAAAAAACAAUAUUAAAUUUCAUCUAAAUAGUGUUAGAAAAAUAAAAUUUGAAUAAAUACGUAUACGAAGUUUGUUUAUAUUUUAGGCCUUGAAUUGAAAUUUCGCUUUAGGCCCCCGAUUACGUUGAGCCACCCCUAUUAGGGAAUGCGGGUGUUGAUAAUGGGUAAAAGGGAAAGAAUACCCCUCUUGGAACAUAAGAGGACCUGGAAAAUAAAAGAAAACCACUUUUUAGUGAAUUAUGUUGGCGAAAUUGAGUUCAUAAUGACUAUCAUAGUUGUUUUGAGUUCUCAACGUAUUUUUCUUGUUUUGACCUGUUUCUUUGCUUUUGUAUUUCUUGUUUUGACCCUUUUCUUUGCUUUUCUAAUGACUAUCACAGUUGCUUUUGGUGAUGGUACUAUUAUUUGUGAUGGAAGUAUCUAUCAUUUUCUCUGUAUUUUGUGUUCAUCUGGAAUGUGUUUAUAAGUUUCUUUAUAAGAGGGUUUACUGUAAUUUACUACUUCCAUUGUCCCAAUUUAAUUUAUCAAUUUGGGUAUAGCUUUUUGAAUUUUAUAAAAUAAAAUUUACAUAUUUAAAAAUUAUACAAGAAGUACUAUAUGUCUCUAAUGAAUCCAAAUAUUUUAAGAAAAUAGAGAAAAUUAUAGUCAAAGAAAAAUCGUUUGACUCUUCAAACAAUAACACCUUCACAUAAAUGGGAUAUAGAGGAAGUAUCUUUUAAUCUAUUCAGUGUUGUCAUCAGGGGCGGAGCCACGUAGGCUCCAAGGGUGUCCAAUUAUACUAUAUAUACACGUAAAAUUUUGACUUUAUAUUGGUAUAUAUAGAAUUUGGACCCCCUGAAAUAACAAAGUGAUGCGCAAUGGAGUUGGCAAUAAGCUUGUGCAAUCCUACUCUUUAUCCCGAUUCGAUUCCCUGCAAGGUUGUUUUAUUUUUCUGUAAUUAUUUUGACUUCUUGAAUUCAAUUAAGUAAAUAAACAUGCGUAAUUUUAACAUAAAAGUUCAAUAGCUUGGUGGUUAAUAGUAUCAUGAAGGUCUCCAAGACUCAAGUUCGAAUCCCUCCUCUAAAUAAGAUUUCCUUGAAUUUAAUACUUUUUCUUGUGGAUUUUUUUCAAUUAAAAUUGAAUUACUUCCUUAAAUUUUAAUACAUUUUCCGUAUGGAAUAAGAUUUCCUUAAAUUUUAAUACUUUUCCCUUAUGGAAUAAGGUUUUCUUUCUCUAUAAAUAGGAGACUCAUUUACCCAAAUAUCACAAUAUUAUUAAGAAUAGAAUCUCAAUAAUUCUCUCUCUGUUUUUUCUUCUCGUUCUCUUAUUUUAUAACAAAAAUAACCAACUUAAUAUUUUAGUUUCAAGUUUCAAUAGACAUGAGGAAUUAUUAUAAUAGAGUACCAAAAAAAAGUUCGACUUCUCUAAGUCAACCAAAUAAAGAAACAACGGUAGAUCAAUUAGAGAUGUUGUCACAUUCUUCUCAAAAACAAAGCAUUGAUUUAAAUACUCUAAAAAUGACUUGCGAAAUCGAAUGGAUGAUGAGUUUUUAGACGGUUGUGUAGUGCCUUAUGUAGAAAAGAAAGUAUUUCGUACUAUUUCUAAUGAGUCUAUUAUAAAAACGUUUCAGAUUAUGAAACCUCGUCAAGUACAAUUGUAAUAAUAUAUUUAAAUUAUGUUUUCAAUAGUAGUUUAUUUUCUUUAUAUUAGUUUUGAAUUAUACACUUGUAAUUCUAUUAAAAAUAUUCCUAUAUUUAAUUAAAUAUUGCUUAACUUGAUUAUUUGUUUUGGUAAUUUAAAUCGUUAUUUUUAAAAAAAAAAUUACUAUUAAAAGUUUGGACACCCUUCAUUAAAUUCUUGGCUACGCCACUGGUUGUCAUGAUUUUCGUUAGGUUAGUUAAAAAUUGUCAUUCAAAAGAAUUAUAAGAGCUGUAGUUGUUAGUGUAAAAGCUAACAAUUGAGGAUGAAUAAGUAGUUUAUGCAUUUUUUGCAGGUUUGGACCCGAGUAUCAACGGGGUUGUAUGAGUCCACCACCAGUCAGGACACCAGGUCCCUUGACUGUUCUAGUAACAGAAAGUAAUUUAAAUGUUUAAAGUAAAAAACACAAAUGUUUACGUGGAAAUCUCCUUGCUCAAGGAAAGAAAAACCACAACCUGUCAAACAUGAUUUCUUAAAGCUCCAAUAACUUCAAGCAACUUGUGAAUACAAACUCGAGUACUCACAAAGGAUUAAACUCUUAAUCCUAAGCACCUUGUAACACCUAUAUUACAAGACACAAAGAAAUAACUCUAUUGCUCACUAUAUCAACUUCCUCUAGUUAACAUAGACUUCAAGCAAACACAACUAGGCUAACUCUAGCCACAAACUCAACUCACAAUCCUUUAAACUGACAUGAUAUAUUAUCAUUUAUAAUAUAGGAAUAGAUCUACAAUAUGAGAGCACAAGACAAUAAACUCAAAUAACAACUUAAGACUCAAUCAGGUCCCUCGUUAUGUGUAAAAGUAGUUCCUCUUUGAAAAUGACUUUUGCUUUUGAAUAAUCUUGGUUGCAAAAACGAGGUUGUUUCUUGUCAACAUAUCCAUUGUAUAAGAGAGACAAAACAACCUAGUAGCAUGCCAUUGAUCGAGGACUGUUGUCCUUUCCGUGCCUCUGCUGCAGUGCCCACCGACCACUGCAGUUUUUGUAGCUGUUGGCUUGUCCUGUAAAACGAAAACUUAGAGGACCAGGUCCUUUUACAUGGUCCUAUUUAGCUUGUUAAUUCAUCAAAACCCAAAAUACAACAAGCUAUAUCCUAUGUAUUGAGGUUGCUACACAUUCCACUGUAUUCUUGACAUUUUAUUUAUGUCAUUGUUCACUUAUUUGGUUAUGAUUUUCUUGAUGUGGGAAUAGUUAGGUGUCAUCACGACUUAGGAAAAUUGGGUCGUUAGUCGUUACAAUGAUGAUUCUUCAGUUAGGAACUUUCAUCUCUCGACUUGUUAAAACACAUUCAUCAAUAGGAAACAAGAGAGAAGAGGUCAAUUGUAUAUACAAUGAGACAUUUGGAAGAUACCAAUUUUAUUAGGUGUAGAUGUACUGUCAAUGCAAUAUUUGUAGAAUAGCAGGGAAAGCACACAACAAUCACAAAAUCAUAUAGUAGAACUUUCAAUGUUUCUUGUAAUAAAAUGUUGAAGUUUAGAAAUACUAGUUCUCUUACUAUAUAUGAUACAUUGUAUUUGCAUCAUUUCUUUAGUCUAUAAGUAGGAAUAGCCAGCAAAGGCUUUUCUCUACAUGUUACCAUCCCAAACUUCUCAUCGAUGUCUAAAUCACAAGGCUGAAUACCAUUUGGAAGCUCCCACUCAAAGCAAUGCACCAACUGUGCCACCAUAAAGGCGAACGAUGGUAACUCCCAACCGCAUUCCAGGACAGCUUCUUCUCCCAGAGCCAAAUGGUAAAAGUUGAAAGUCACGUCCACGAAAAUCUAUACUGCUCCCAACAAAUCUCUCAGGAAAAAACUUCUCAGGGUCAGGCCAAACAUUUGGAUCCCUAUGAAUCGCGUAACAAUUUAUUAUGAUUCGGGAUCCCUUUUGUAUGUGGAAAUCGUCGACUACACAAUCUUCCAUUGCCUCAUGAAAAAAUAGUGGCACUGCAGGAUGCAGCCUCAGGCCCUCAUUUACAACCAUGUUUAAGUAGUUUAAGUUCUCCAAGUCUGAUUCUUCUACCAUUCUUUCAAGGCCUACCACUUCUUGCAACUCGUUUUGGAGUUUCUUCAUCACUUGGGGAUGCCUAAGAAGUUCGGUGAGCAUCCAUUCUUCUGUUGAUGCUGUAGUGUCCAUUGCAGCCAGAAGCAUGUCCUGUAUAUAAAAGGAAACAGGGGAAUUUGUUAUAUAUUAAGCUUAUACUAGUAUAUAUGACUUAUAACUGGGAUGAAAGUACAUAUAUACCAAGAGGAUAGCUUUUAUGAGAUGACGGUCAAACUGAAAUUCUGCUUCUCCAGAUUGCAUUAUGUCCAUCAUGGUGUCCACAAAGUCCUUGGUUUGAUCCCGAUCAUGAUACUCGGCAUGUUCAUCAAUAAUCCUCUCAAGAAACUCAUCAAACACCUUUGAAAGAUCCUUGAGUUUGCGAUUGAGACCCUGGAGAUCAAUAACUCCAAGGAAAGGAAAAAAAUCUCCAAGAUUUGGUGUGGAUACUAAAUCCACAACAUCUUGAACAAUAGCUUUGAAUCCCCUCUUGUCCAAGUCCUCAUCCAUGUACUUCUUUCCAAACAUCAUCAAGCAAGUCAAGUUAGCAUUCAAGGACAAAAUCCUUGCACUAAGAUCAACAACUACGCGAUCAUGAGCUUCCUUUUUAAUGGAUUCAAUCAGAAGUUGAACUUCUUGCUUUCUCAUGGAUUGAAAUGAAUUGAUCUUGUGAUUGCUUAAAAGGUGAACAGUGCACAAUUUGCGCAUGUUGCGCCAAUACACACCAUACUUUGCAAAUAUCAAAUUCUUCUGUCCAUAAGACAAAUAUUGAGAUACCUCACUAUGAGGCCUACUAGCAAAGAUGUGAUCAUUUGUCUUGAGGAACUUCUCGACUGCAUCAACAGACGAGGCAACGAUUGCAGGUACCAGUCCCAAUUGCACAUACAUAAUAGGACCAUGUUUCUUGGCUAGUUUUUGUAAAUCUUUGUGUGGAUUUUUACCAGCUAACAAAUGAAGAUGUCCUAAAAUGGGAAAGCCUGUUGGACUUGGAGGAAACCUUUUCCUCUUGUGAAUGUUUAGUAGCACAUACAAGGCAUAUACAACUAGAAAAACCACUAGACUUGCCCAUAUCAAAGUCAUUGAGUUAGAAUAAGGAAAUCCAAUAUCCAAAGUUAUAUUUACAGGAACAAGUUCUGUAUUGAUAAUCUUAUACUUUUCGAAUGCUAAUUAGCAGGUAUCUACUUCUUUAAUUUCUAUAGGAAUAGACUUUAAUAAUGUGUAGGCCGGCUGGCUUCAUUUAUUUAUCACAAAAGACUUUUUUAUUUAUGUUAUCCGUUAAAAGUUUGACUCAUCUAUGCAACUUCCGUAUGAGAAAAGGCUCAUCCAUAUAUCAUUAUAUGGGUUAACGGAAAACCCAUCUGAUUUCGCAAAACCAUUUUAUCCACGUAACGAACAAUGAUUCAGCCACAUCAUUAAAUUUUUUAAAAACAAAAAAAUCAGUCAAAUUCUAAAAACCCAUUUGAUUUUUUACAAACCUACCCGGAAAAAUUAUGUGUAUUUUUUUAUAAUAAUAAUAAUAAUAAUAAUAAUAAUAAUAAUAAUAAUAAUUUUUAAAAAAUGUCCUAUAUUUUUAACGUUUAAUUUUGAAGCAGAAUGCAUCCAUCAUGUUACUCCGGAAUUUGAAUGUUCAAAUCACUAAAGUAACGACACAAGAAUGAUAGGUAAAGGUUUUUGAGACUAACUUACAUCCACGGACACAGAAUAAAAAUAAUUACACGUUCAAUUCAAUUUUAUAAAUACUUAUUACCUUUAAUAUAUUCACUUAUUAUUAAUAUUUAAACAAAAUAAUAAUAAGUAUUAUAUGGUAACUUGAACUAUAAAUUAAUUAUCGAAGUUUGUUUAGGAUUCUUCUUUGAUUGCCAAAAAUAAGAAGAUUUUUUCACCGCUUUCUUGUCCUCAUUAUUCCACCUAAAAAGGGAUAUUUUUUCAAAUUCGCUGAGAAGCAAUUUUGUGUACGUCUUUACUUCUACGAGGACAAUAAAUAAAGUAGGCAUAAGGCCAAACAAUUCCUAACGUUGGAUUUCAUUCAAAAAGAGAUACUAAUUUAUUUAAAAACUGUGUAAAAAUAUUAUAAAUCAUUAUAAUUAACAACUUAACAUAUUUAAAAGACAUAUAAAAAAUUUGAUCGAUUUUUGAAAUUCUAUCGAUUUCAUAUAAGUUGGUACAUAAGAAGUAACAUGCAUUAUUUGAAAACGACGUAAAAAGUAUUAUAAAUCUCAAUAAUUAACAACUUGAAAUAUUUAAAAUAUAUAUAUAUUUAAAAAUUGAUUGACAAACGAAAUCAUAUAUACUUAUUUGAAAUUACAUAAAAAGUACUAUAGUCUAUGAAUUACAACAAUUAGCAACUUAAAUUAUUUUGAAAAAAAUAAAAAGAUCGACUGACUUUCAAAUCUUGUAUAAUUUAUAUGAUUUAUUUUAGAUAGAUUUAUGUCUCAAAUAUAUGACAUUUCCCCACGUGUUUUUUUUUUAUAAAAAAAAGUCUUUUAUCAGGUUGCUGGAAUUAUCGUGAUACAAUAAUAUCAGAGCUAGCUCCACAAGCCUAAAAAAAAGUUGCCUUAAGUUUUUUUCUUUUCGAUAUUAAAUUAUAAGUAUUUUUCUCAAAAAACAUAUUAAGUACUCCAUUAUUUAUAGAAAAUAUAAUUUUUUAUAUAUAAAAAAAGAUUAUUAGAAAUUUAACAAAUUCAAAAUAUUAUGUCUCAAAAAAUCAAAAAUUAACUAUGAUAAAUUUCAUUUAAAAAUAAAAUAAUUUAUGAAUUUUUAAUCAAAUUUAAUUUUAGGUCAUAUUAUGGUGCAUGCCUGGCAGCCAUAUGAGUAAUAAAUGAUUGCUCAUAAAUAUCUUAUUUCAUUGAAAAUGCCACUUAUAGAGUUAAUAUCUCAUACGAUCACUCAACUAAUAUUUCUUUUCAUAGAAAGUCACUUAAUUUUCAUUUAUAAUUUCAAAGUCACUUAACUAUGUAUUUUUUUUAAAAUAAAAAGUCACACAACUUUAUUAUAUAACCUCAAAGUCACUCAACUAUUGAAUAUUUCAUUUAGAAAGUCACCCAUUCAAUUUAAAUAUUUUUUUCAUUAAAUUUUAUUGAAAUGCAAUUUUGUUAACAAAAUAAUAAGAUGCUCAAUUUAAUUAUUUUAUUGAAACAUAAUUUUUUUUAAACUAAUUUCUUAAAAAAUAAUAAGAUUCUCAUUUUCAUUAUUUUAUUAAAUUUAUUGAAACACCAAUUUUGUUUUAAACUAAUUUCUUAACAAAUAGUAAAAUACUCAUUGUAAUAUAUUAUUUAAUUUUGUUGAAAGAUAAAUUUAUUAAAAACGAUUUUCUUUAUUAAAAAAAAAUGGUGUGUUGCGAGGCACCAACACUAGUAACGGUGGAUGCAAUGCAAUGCAUCAUUUUCGAUUUAAAAAUAUCCUACUGCGUAAACCUUAUUAUUUUUGUAUUAAAAUCACAAUAGUUAUUGUUUCUUAAAAAAAUAGUCUAAAAUAAAAAAAUUUGUUCAACAAAAUUUAAUAAAAUAAUUAAAAUGAAUAUUUAUUAUUUGAAAAAAUAAUUAAAAACAAAAUAGUAUUUCAAAAAAAUAAUUAAAUGGGCAUCUUAUUAUUUUUUUAAAAAAAUUAGUUUAAAACAAAAAUUGUAUUUCAACAAAAUUUAAUUAAAAAAUAUUCAAAUUGCUUGAGUUACUUUCUAAAUGAAAUAUGUAACAUCCCGCAACUAGAAAGAGCUAGAAUUAGAAAGAGUCAUUUUUGGAAAGAAUGAAAAAUCUGGAAAUUUGACAAAAUUAAGUCAAGUAUGAGUUUUGGGUUAACUUCAAACGACCAUAAAUCCUAGCUUAGGAUGAUUUAGGUGUGCUAAAAGAUACCGUAGGAAAGAUCUUUGAAUUAUCUUUCCAACGCCGCCGAGUUUGCGCGCUUUUGAGUUCGUAUGAGGGAGAUAUGCCCAUUUGAAGUUGGGUUGUCUAGAUAAGGAAAGUCAAAAUCGGAUUUUAGAAGGGCAUUAUGGUCUUUUCACCACCCAAUUAAUUAAGGAAAAAUUACUUGGAUAGAUACCUUUUAAUAAAUAAUUACUGAUUUUAGCGAUACUUUUUAUUUAUUACCAUUUAUAACAAUACAUAACAAUAUUAUGUUAAAUCUGCAAUAUAUAUUAAAAGUGAAUUAUGUAUGCAAAAUAUAUGUAUUAUAACUGUUUUUUUAAAUGUGUUAUGCUUGCUUGGUAAGAAAUAGACACAUUGUAUUAUAAGUGUAUUAAAAUGUGUGAUAAAUGUAUUAUUCAUCAAUAAAACUUGUAUUAUAUGUGAAUAAUAAAUUGUUCUUUAUAAUAUAUAUUAAAACUGUAUUAUAAAUGUAUUAAAAGUGAUCAAGUGAAAAAAAAUAUUGUUGCUAUAGAUGGUAAAUAUUUUUUUAAUAUAGUAUAUUUAUGUAAGUUUUCCAUUAAUUAAUUUCAUUUUUGGUUAAUUAAGUUGGGGGUCUAAACUGAUUGGAUUCAGUUUACGCUUUUGAAAAAACAAGUUAGGAUUUUGAGAGAAGAGAAAAGAAGAGGAGAAAAGAGGAGAAGAAGCAAGGAAUCACCAAGUUCUUGAAGAAUUUCUUGUGGAUUUCGUCAAGGGGUGAUCCCUACGAGGUAUUUGAGAUCACAUAGCGUUGGGUUAGUUCACCCACACGCCAACCAUGAUUUAUUUUAACGAAUUUAGAUUCUUGAAUGUUUAGAAAUUGAGUUCUUGAUGGAUUUGUUUGAAGUUUCUAUUGGGUUCUUGAUUGUUGGAGUUGUUGAAGAGUUCUUGAUUUUGAUUCAUGAAUUUAGGUGUCGUUUUGAGUAGAUUCUUGCAUAUUUUGAUUAUGUAGUCGAAUCUAAGUGUUUGGGGAAGGACCCAAUUGAGUUUAGAGGAUUUAGAGUUGAAAAACGAGCAAGAAAAGUCGUCAAACACCUGGGCAGAGGGUGGGGCGCCGCGCCACUCAGAGCACCCCACAAAGUUCUCUGAAGUUAGGCCUCUGGCACGCCACUCAGAGCGCCAGGGACGCCAUGUUUUCUACUUCUCCCCCCUUCUUUCCGUACUAGUUCCCUUGAAGCGUACCUAUGUUUCCUAGUUGAUUCCUACACUCUAAGGUACGUCUAAACAACAUGAAAUCAUUCAUAACAUGAGAUCAUGAGCCUUGAAUCCAUAAUUCAAUUCAAGGAAAGUUAGGAGUCAAGUUAAGAGAAGUUCAUAGAUUUUUCAAAAGUCUUUUACAAACGUCUUUACUUUGUUUUAAGGCUUGAGAUUUGAGUUGAGUAAAGAGUAAAGAUUGAAGUUCAUUUCUUCAAAAGAGUAUAUCGGGACUAUGUAUAUUUACAAAGAGUAAAAUGUUUCACAUUUAAACAAGAAAGGAAACUUUGAUUUCCAAAAGAGCCUUUGAGCUAGUUUUUAGUAAAGAGUAAAUGCUUUCACAAUUAAGCAAGAGAAGAAACUUUGAUUUCCAAGAGGAGCCUUUGAGCUAAGCUUUGAGCAAUUAUCUCAAACCACAAAAAGAAGUAUGUUUUUAAACAUAAGAGUUAAUAUUAUAUUUUGAGAGUAGUAUUGAGCACUGAUAUUGUAACGACCGGGUUUCGUCGAUAUAGAAAUGCCAACGGGGGAAAAAUUGGGGUCGGAAAAACUUUUUUGUAGUACUUGAAUUUUCCCAACCUUGUCCAGAUUUGGACGAAAUCGGAGUCCUUGAGUUGUGGGGAAAUCUGGUAACAAUCGGGUGGAGUAGUUAUAGUUUUGGUUGCAUGGGUGAUUAGAUAACUUGUUAAUGAAGCAGUACAACUUUACAGAAUUGAAUUCAGGCGAGUAGAGCUCCCGAAAUCGAUCUUAGAGUGAGGGGUAUUUUCUAAUUGUCGUGGGUUAGAGAUGUGUAGUGAAAUGGGAUUUUGGAAUUUCUUCAGUUGACUCUCUGGUUCCAUUUGUGCAGCUUUGGCGGGAGUCUAGCCGCUCUGGUGGCGCCGCUACAGCAGGAUCAAGGCCACUCUGGCGGGCCAGACGCAACUUAAUGUCGUUAAUAAACCCCUAAACGACCUUAUUUGGAUCUUUUCGACUUUUAGAGCUAAGGAACGACCCCCAGGCGAUUUCUACUUGUUUUUCACCGUUCUUGAGGCUAAAGGUAAGCUUUUCACUCCCCGAAUCCAUUUCUCGAUCCGUAGAACGUAAUAGAAUGGGUGAAUAUUGAUGGUAGAAGGUUUUGUUAUAGAUUCUACGGUGGAAACAACCCUAGUUUGGAUGUUUGGGAUCAUGGAUUUGAUUUAGGGUUCAUAGAAUUGUUAUAGUUUCGGGUAAUUAGCGAUUGUUUGUUGAUUCCCGUGUUAUUAUGAUUGUUUGUAGACCAAGAACAAGCGGAAUGAAUCCGGAAAGGGAAGGAUCAAGUUUCUUAGGGUUUCAAGCUUGUUUCGAGGUAGGUGAUGGUUGUGAUUUUAUAUUUUUGUGAUGUAUUCUUGUUUUUGCUUUAUUAUGAUACUUGUGUAUGUAUGAAUGUUGCAAUGUUGAUCACACUUGUUGUAAAUGAGAUAGAUGAAUAUUCUUGCCAUGAAAUCAUGAUGUAAAUGUAUGAUCUUGAUGAUGUACUUUUGAUUAUGAUUAUGGUGUGUGAAUGGGAUCGGUUGCCACUGUAACAACCCGUAUUACGCAUAUGCUUGUUCUAUUCUUGUGAUACUUGCCAUAGCCUUAUAGUAUAGGUGAGGGACCAUGUUUCUUAUAGGAUUAGUGUUGGUUUAAACUAUCUCGGGAGGUGAUGUGAUGCCUUGCACGUUUCAGCAUGUGUACUGCAAGUUAUAACUCCAACGGAAGUAUUUAAACUCGAGACAGUAAGGUGGUAAUUGAGCUUAAAAGUUGAAAGUUAAGUGCUAAGUUAAGUAAAAGGGGAUUAAUAUUUUAGAAAAUGGAAUAAAAUAAGUGAGUUGCUUGCCUGACUUGACUAAGCUAGUAGGUGACAAGUAGGUGGAUCACCUACUUUGACUAAUUGACCAGUCCAAAGGACCAAGUAGGUGCAUCACAUACUUGAGAUAAAUGGAUNNNNNNNNNNNNNNNNNNNNNNNNNNNNNNNNNNNNNNNNNNNNNNNNNNNNNNNNNNNNNNNNNNNNNNNNNNNNNNNNNNNNNNNNNNNNNNNNNNNNNNNNNNNNNNNNNNNNNNNNNNNNNNNNNNNNNNNNNNNNNNNNNNNNNNNNNNNNNNNNNNNNNNNNNNNNNNNNNNNNNNNNNNNNNNNNNNNNNNNNNNNNNNNNNNNNNNNNNNNNNNNNNNNNNNNNNNNNNNNNNNNNNNNNNNNNNNNNNNNNNNNNNNNNNNNNNNNNNNNNNNNNNNNNNNNNNNNNNNNNNNNNNNNNNNNNNNNNNNNNNNNNNNNNNNNNNNNNNNNNNNNNNNNNNNNNNNNNNNNNNNNNNNNNNNNNNNNNNNNNNNNNNNNNNNNNNNNNNNNNNNNNNNNNNNNNNNNNNNNNNNNNNNNNNNNNNNNNNNNNNNNNNNNNNNNNNNNNNNNNNNNNNNNNNNNNNNNNNNNNNNNNNNNNUUAUAAGUACAAGGCAGAAGUUCCCACAAGCUACUGCUCACUUUCCUUAAUUAUUAAGAAACUUUUCUCUUCUUUUUUGGUUUAAGUGUGAAGAGAAUUUGAAGUUCUAGAGGAAUUCAAGUUAUUAGGAGAAGUUGCAGAAAUUGAGGUAAGGUGACUGCUCAAUUUUCUUCCUCCUUAUGUAUGAGUUUGAGUGAGAAAUUAUGGGUGUGCUGUCAUAAANNNNNNNNNNNNNNNNNNNNNNNNNNNNNNNNNNNNNNNNNNNNNNNNNNNNNNNNNNNNNNNNNNNNNNNNNNNNNNNNNNNNNNNNNNNNNNNNNNNNNNNNNNNNNNNNNNNNNNNNNNNNNNNNNNNNNNNNNNNNNNNNNNNNNNNNNNNNNNNNNNNNNNNNNNNNNNNNNNNNNNNNNNNNNNNNNNNNNNNNNNNNNNNNNNNNNNNNNNNNNNNNNNNNNNNNNNNNNNNNNNNNNNNNNNNNNNNNNNNUAUUGGUCAGAGGAUAAGGUAUGUAAGGCUAUUCGAUUCAAUAUUCUUUGGCAUGAAAUCUGAUACUUACGAUUAAUAUCAAUAAGUGAAUUUCCUAAGUUCUAUUCCUAGGAAAGGAAACAUACUGGCAGCGUACGAUACCCAAAUAGCUAACAAUAUUUCCCCCCUCUCCUUAGUGUAUAGAAUUACUUUAUUAUAUGUUCAGUACUCUAUAGUCAAUUGAAGUCAAUUGUGUCAGUUAAGCUCACAAGUAAUGCAUUGAUGUUACAAAACUUCUUAUGUCAUUGUUACUGCCUUGAAGUAUUAUUUUCAUGUCUUCUACUACUGGUCUGUAGUUCCAAAUAUCAAAAAUGAUUAUGACCACCAAAACAACAAUCUCAUAGAUUAAAGAAUCUAAAUGAAGCAAUUUGUAUAAUUAUGGGUGGCAGCCCAGGGGCAAAUGCCUAGCAUGGGUCAAUCCCAAUUGGUAUAUAAGGGUGGAAGCUCAGGGGCGAAAGCCUAGCAUGGAACGAUCCCAAUUGGUAUAGAAGGGUGGCAGCUCAGGGGGGAAAGCAUAGCAUGGGCCGAUCCCAAUUUGUGGAAUUAUGAGAACCACUUCCCAGGGGUUAAAAUGCCUAGCAUGGGUCAUCCUCUUCUACCACUGAUCAGCUGAUCAUUCAUAUCACAUGCCUUAUAAAGAUCAUAACACACAGAAAGGUAAAGACAAGAAUGUGACAUACAUGAUCCCACAAGACUUAACAAAUGUGGUUUUCUAUUCUGAUUUAUGCACACAUAUAUUGAUAAUUGGUUUCAUUCGAACUCUUAUUUUAUAUAUGUUAUUGCCUUACAUAUUCAGUAUAUUUUUUCGUACUAACGUCUCUCGCGGGAGACGCUCCAUUUCUUGCCACAGGCACAUGUACUUCAGCUAGUAGACCUUCUCAAUAGGAGCACACGACACUCAGUUACUUUUUGUGAGCUCCAAGUUGAUUCGGAGCUUUACUAAGUCCUUGGUACAUUUUGGUAUUGUAUCGUAGUUAAGGGUAAGACGGGGUCUGUCCCGACCUACUCUAAGGUUUUCUAUCUUUUAGAGGCUUUGUAGACUAAUGUAUAUGGUUCAAGUGUGUCUUAACAAGUUGUGGCCUCAACGACCAAGUAUUUUAUAUAAGUUUUGGGUCCACUUAUGUUGGUUAUCUCGGGCCUUUAGGGCAUCGGGUGCCUGUCCGUCUUAAUGGGAUUUGAGGCGUGACAAAAGUGGUAUCAGAGCAGGUCAUCCUAGGAUGUCUACAAAGCCGUGUUUGGGUAGAGUCUUGCUUAUGGAUGUGUUGUGCACUACAUUUAUAGACAAGAGGCUACGGGACAUGUAGGAGUUGUCUCUUUUCUUUCAUUUCUUAGAUCGUGCGAUAGAACCAAUGUUGUAGGUGAAUCAUAUCUAAUUUCUAAAUUGUUUUAUUAUAGCAAAGAUGUCGGGUACGAGAAGGAGCAAAAGUACAGGUAAACAAGUAGAUGUGGUUGCCCAAGAAGGGACCAGCCAAGCACCACCUAGGCAUGCUGAACAUAGCGGGGCUCACAAUGAGUCUCUAUCACAGACUUCCCCGACCCCUCUAUCUCCAUAAGAUCUAAGGAGGGAAGCUGCACCUCAAGAACCCCCUAUUAAUGCUACCGAGCAAGAUUUGAAGAAUGCAAUCCAAUUGUUGACUCGUAUAGUUGCUGGUCAUGGCCAACGACAAGAAGGUCCAGUUGCAGGUACUAGUGGUGUAGAUAGAGCAGCUGGCAUGCAGAUACAUGUUUUCCUUAAUUUGGACCCUCCAUCAUUCACCGGGUCAGAUCCUAAUGAAGAUCCACAAGACUUUAUAGAUCAAAUCCAACGCACUUUUGAUAUUAUGCAUGUAAGUGGUAAAGAAGCGCUCGAGCUAGCAGCAUAUAGAUUAAAGGGUGUGGCUAUAUUGUGAUAUGAAACUUGAAAGCAAUCUAGGGGAACAUAUGCAUCUUCAGCUACAUGGAAAGAGUUCAAAAAGGUAUUCCUUGACCAUUACUUGCCAUUGGAGAUUCGAGAGGCCCAUACAGAUCGGUUCUUAAAUCUCCACCAAGGAAGUAUGAGCGUGAGAGAGUACAAUCUAAAAUUUAAUUCCUUGUCCAGGUAUGCUCCUAGUGUAGUAGCUACUAUGGAGGAUAGAGUUCAUUGAUAUGUGGAUAGAUUAGAUUCAUAUCUGGUUAGAGAUUGUACCAUUGCUUCAUUGAAUAAAGAUAUGGAUAUAGCAAGGAUGCAAGCUUUUGCGCAAAAGUUGAAGGAUCAAAGGCAAAGAAGAAGGACGCAAGAGUCAGAAACAGUGCAUUCUAAGAGGGCCAGAUCCAUGGGGCAGUUUACACCAUCCCAAGGUGAGUUUAGGCCUCGGUUCUUUAACAGACCACCUAGGCCAUCAUUUUUCUACUCUACAGCUAGUGCUCUACCACAGUUUCAAGGGUUUAGGGGCAAUUAGUUUGGGCAAAGAAGUGAAAGCCAAGGUUCACAAAUAGCGGGUCAUCCAGAGCAGGGAAGUACGAGCCAAUCAAGGCCUCCUUGACAACCUUGUAAGCAAUGUGGAAGAAAUCAUCUAGGUGUGUGUAGGUUUGGGACAGAUGUUUGUUUUGGGUGUGAUAUAUCGGGGAAUAUGAUGAGAAACUGCUCUCAUAGGGGCAUGGGUGGUGUUGCACAACCUAUUAGAUCAGUUGAUGCAUCUUUCUCAUCAACACCUUCUUUAGGCAGGGGACUACAAAUGCCUACUGGUCAUGGUAGAGAAGCUAGGGGAGCAGCUAGUUCUAGUGGAGUUUAGAAUCGCACAUAUGCUCUUGGGGGUCGACAAAAUUUAGAAGCCUCGCCGGAUGUGGUUACAUGUACAUUGUCCAUCUUUUCACAUAUUGUAUAUGUAUUAAUUGAUCCGGGGUCUACACUAUCAUAUGUUACUCCAUUGAUUGCUGAAAAGUUCAAAAGAACAAAAUUAUUAGUGAAGCCAUUUGAAGUGUCUACACCGAUUGGUGAGUCUAUUAUAGCUAGAAGGGUUUAUCGUAAUUGCAUUGUAACUAUUUGUGAUCGUGAUACAUUGGCUGACCUUGUUGAUCUAGAAAUGGUGGAUUUUGAUGUUAUAAUGGGUAUGGAUUGGUUAGCUUCUUGUUAUGCCACGGUAGAUUGCCGAACGAAGACGGUGCAUUUCCAUUUUCCAAAAGAGGUCGUCCUUGAAUAGAAAGGGAAUAUUGGGACACCAAGAGGUAAAUUUAUUUCUUGUCUUAAAGUAAAGAAGAUGAUGUCCAAAGGAUACAUAUGCCAUCUAGUGAGAGUGAAAAAUAUAAAUACGGAGCCACCAACUCUUCAAUCCAUUCCAGUGGUAAAUGAAUUUCCCGAUGUAUUUUCUGAAGAUCUUUCGGGUUUUCCCCCAGAAUGAGAAGUAAAGUUUGGUAUUGAUGUGAUUCCAAAUACUUAACCUAUCUCCAUCCCUGCAUAUAGAAUGGCUCCGACAGAAUUACGGGAGUUGAAAGAGCAAUUAAAAGACUUAUUAGAAAAAGGAUUCAUAAGGCCUAGUAUGUCCCAUGGGGGGCACCAGUUUUAUUUGUACGCAAGAAAGAUGGCUCGUUAAGAAUGUGUAUCGACUACCGGCAGUUGAAUAAGGUAACGAUUAAGAACAAAUAUUCCCUUCCUAGAAUUGAUGAUUUGUUUGAUCAGUUACAAGGUGCUAAGUGUUUUUCAAAGAUCGACUUGAGGUCGGAGUAUCACCAAGUAAGGGUCACAGACAAAGAUAUACCCAAGACAGCUUUCCGAACACGGUAUGGUCAUUUUGAGUUUUUAGUCAUGUUAUUCGGGCUAACAAAUGCACCAGCAGCUUUUAUGGAUAUGAUGAAUAGGGUGUUCAAGCCAUUUUUAGAUGUGUUCAUGAUAGUAUUCAUAGAUGACAUUUUGGUGUAUUCAAGAUCUGAAGAGAACCAUAGUAAUCACCUGCGACAGGUUUUACAAAUUCUUCGUGAUCGUAAGUUGUAUGCAAAGUUCUCUAAAUGUGAGUUCUAGUUGAAAUCUGUGGCAUUCUUACGUCAUAUUGUAUCCAAUGAAGGAAUAAGGGUUGAUAACCAGAAGAUAGAAGCCGUAGAAAAACUGGCCAAGACCUACAACGCCUACGGAGAUCCGUAGUUUUCUUGGUAUUGGCAGGUUAUUACAGAAGGUGCGUUGAAGGAUUCUCUUCCAUUGUUGCACCCUUAACAAAGCUAACACACAAAGAAACCAAGUUUCAGUGGAGUGAUGAAUGUGAAAGAAGCUUCCAAUAGCUGAAGAAUAAAUUAACUUCUACACAUAUAUUGGUACUUCCAGAAGGCAUGGAAGGUUAUGCAGUGUAUUGUGAUGCUUCGGGAGUGGGCUUAGGUUGUGUAUUGAUGUAGCAUUGUAAAAUAAUAGCUUAUGGCUCAAGGCAGCUGCGGCCACAUGAGAAGAAUUAUGCAACCCAUGAUCUAGAGUUAGCAGCAGUUGUGUUUGCUUUGAAGAUAUGACGCCACUACUUGUAUGGAGUUCAUGUUGACAUAUACACUGAUCACAAGAGUUUGCAAUAUAUAUUUAAGCAAAAGGACCUAAAUCUGAGGCAGCGAAGAUGGCUGGAGCUAUUAAAAGAUUAUGACAUUGAUAUUUUGUAUCAUCUUGAUAAAGCCAAUAUAGUAGCUGAUGCUUUAAGAUGUAAGAUAAUGGCAAGCACUUAUGGGCAGUCUAUGGAAAGACAAUGAAUAACUAAGGAUCUAUGCCAACUAGCUAGCUUGGGGGUUCACCUUCUUGAAUCUCCAGACGAAGGGGUUGUUGUGCAAAAUGUGGCAGAAUCCUCAUUAGUAGCGGAAGUGAAAGAGAAGCAGUACACUGAUCCUAUUCUAAUACAGCUUAAGGAGAAUGUACAACAGGGUAUGAUAAAGAAAUUUGAGCUUACGCAAGAGGGAGUACUUCGGUGUCAAAACAGAUUGUGUGUAUCUAACGUAGAUGAAUUGAGAAAGAGGAUUAUGAUGGAAUCACAUCAUUCGAGAUAUUCUGUCCAUCUGGGGUCAACAAAAAUGUAUCAUGACUUGAAAGAAAUGUAUUGGUUGGGGGGACAUGAAGAAGAAUAUUUAGAAAUUCAUGGCUCAAUGUUCAAAUUGUCAACAAGUAAAAGUAGAGCACCAAAAGCCCGAAGGUUAUAUGCAGUGUAUAGAACUUCCAAUUUGGAAGUGGGACAUGAUCAACAUGGAUUUUGUCAUUGGUUUGCCUCGCUUAUUUCAAAAGUUUUACUCCAUAUGGGUAAUAGUUGAUAGACUCACCAAAGCAACGCACUUCUUGUUGGUGAAAACUACUUAUACAGUUGAAGAGUAUGCAAGGUUGUAUAUUAAAGAGAUAGUUCGACUACAUGGAGUGCCAAUCUCUAUAAUAUCUGAUAGAGGAGUUUAAUUCACUAUAAAUUUUUGGAAGUCAUUUUAGAAGAGUUUUGGGAACACAAGUGAAUUUAAGUACAACCUUUCACCCCCAAAUAGAUGGUCAGGCAGAGCGUACCAAACACUUGAGGAUAUGCUGUGAGCUUGUGUAUUAGAUUUAAAGGGUAGCUGGGAUGAUCAUCUACCGCUUAUUGACUUCGCUUAUAACAAUAGCUACCAUUCAAGUAUUAAAAUGGCACCUUAUGAAGCUUUAUCUGGUAGAAAAUGUAGAUCCCCAGUUGGCUGGUUCGAAACAGGUGAAACUGCCUUAUUUGGGACAGACCUUGUUCAUCAAGCUAUGGAAAAAUUCAAAGUGAUACAGCAGUGGCUAGAAACAGCUCAAAGUCGACAUAAAUCAUAUGCGGAUGCUAGAAAGAGGGGACUAGAAUUUUCUAUAGGGGAUUGGGUGUUCUUGAAGGUGUCACCAAUGAAAGGGGUAAUGAGGUUUGGUAAAAGAGGAAAGUUGAGUCCACGUUAUAUAAGGCCAUAUAAGAUUAUCUGAAGAAUUGGCCAACUGGCGUAUGAGUUAGAGCUACCUCAAAAGCUUUCAACCGUUCAUCCGAUGUUUCACGUCUCAAUGCUACGAAAGUGUAUAGGUGACCCAUCUCGUAUUAAUCCUACUGAAGAUGUACAGGUUACGAAAGAUCUCACUUAUGAAGAAGUACCCAUUGUUGUUCUGGAUUGACAAGUAAAGAAGUUAAUAAAUAAAGAAGUAACUUCUGUAAAAGUCUUAUGGAGGAACCAACAAAUAGAAGAAGUUACAUGGGAAGCGGAAGAAGAAAUGAAAUUAAAGUAUCCUCAUCUCUUCUAGACCGAUGAGAAAGAUGAAAAUGUUGAGUUGAGGCGUUAACAAGUAAGUAUACGUCUAUAAGUUCAAUGUGAUUAAUAGUAGUACUAACUUAGGCUUAAACUUGUUUGGGCUGGAUAACCAUGCUAACAUUCGAGGACGAAUAUUUUAAGGGNNNNNNNNNNNNNNNNNNNNNNNNNNNNNNNNNNNNNNNNNNNNNNNNNNNNNNNNNNNNNNNNNNNNNNNNNNNNNNNNNNNNNNNNNNNNNNNNGACAUAGCCUUAUAGUAUAGGUGAGGGACCAUGUUUCUUAUAUGAUUAGUGUUGGUUUAAACUAUCUCGGAAGGUGAUGUGAUGCCUUGCAUGUUUCAGCAUGUGUACUAUAGGUUAUAACUCCAACGGAAGUAUUUAAACUCAAGACGGUAAGGUGGUAAUUGAGCUUAAAGUUGNNNNNNNNNNNNNNNNNNNNNNNNNNNNNGAUUAAUAUUUAGAAAAUGGAAUAAAAUAAGUGAGUUGCUUGCUUGACUUGACUAAGCUAGUAGGUGACAAGUAGGUGCAUCGUCUACUUUGACUAAUUAACCAGUCCAAAGUACCAAGUAGGUGCAUCACCUACUUGAGAUAUAUGAAUCUAGUUAAAAAGGCCAAGGUUUAUGGAUUAGAUUUGGGCCUAUGCCAGUGGACUCACUUGAGGCCCAAACUAAGUUAAUAAAUGAAAUGAAAUUAAAGCCCAGCAGCCAAAUUUGCCAAGGCCCAAUUUAUUUAAGCCCAAGUGAAAGCAAGUAGGUCCAUCACCUAGUUUGACCUUUUGACCUACUUGACCAAUUAGUGGCUGAAAAUAGACUAAAAAGGGAGGUUCUAAAUGAUAUUCUUAAAGGUGAAUAAAGCUCAAUAUAAGAUAUAUUGGCUGCUAUUUUUACUCAUUUUAACACACAAUAUUGACAAUUAACUCCAUCUCUCUCUCUCUCUCUCUCUCUCUCUCUCUUUUCUCUUAAGGAUUAAAACAACAUCCUUAAAGUUCCUUCUAGGGUUCUUAAAGAAACCCUAAUAUCUGCAAACCAAGGUAAGAGAAACACUUAUGGAUUUAGCUUAAUUCUCCCAUGGAAGACUAGAAAACAUGNNNNNNNNNNNNGUAGAAGGCAGAAGUUCCCACAAGCUACUGCUCACUUUCCUUAAUUAUUAAGAAACUUUUCUCUUCCUUUUUGGUUUAAGUGUGAAGAGAAUUUGAAGUUCUAGAGGAAUUCAAAGGUUAUAAGGAGAAAGUUGCAAAAAUUGAGGUAAGGUGACUGCUCUAUUUUCUUCCUCUUUAUGUAUGAGUUUGAGUGAGGAAUUAUGGGUGUGCUAUUAUAAAGAACUCAAGGGGGUGGUGAGUUCAAUAAUUGGUUGUAUGAUAAAGAAUAUUUGAGGUUGUUUUAUGUGUAUUGUUGUUGGUGCAACUUGGGUAAUCUUGGAAAAGGAUAUAUAAUGUAUGUAUUGGGCAAAUAAGGACGGUGUGGUAAUACACAUUAUUUUAAGGGUUGUAUGGGCUCAUUAUCCGUCAAAGUUAGCUACUGUUUUACGAGGCUCACGGUGUGAUAGCUGCUAAUUUUAGUUUAUCAUGACUUAUAUUGUAGAUUAAAACCUCAAAGGGGAGGCUGAAUUUUGAUAUUUAUAUUGGUCAGAGGAUAAGGUAUGUAAGGCUAUUCGAUUCAAUAUUCUUUCCCAUGAAAUAUGAUAAGUACCAUUAAUAUCAAUAAGUGAAUUUCCUAAGUUUUAUUCCUAGUAAAGGAAACAUAGUGGCAGCGUACGAUCUCCAAAUAGCUAACAAUAUUUCCCCUCUCUCCUUAGUGUAUAGAAUUACUUCAUUAUAUGUUCACUACUCUAUACUUGUGUAAUUAUCCAGCUCUGUGCUGGUAUAGAAAUGGUAUUUGCAAAAGCAAGUUUGGUGAAUCUUCCUCUUAGUCAGUUGAAGUCAAUUGUGUCAGUUAAGCUCACAAGUAAUGCAUUGAUGUUACAUAGCUCCUUAUGUCAUUGUUACUGCCUUGAAGUAUUAUUUUCAUGUCUUCUACUACUGGUCCGUAGUUCCAAAUAUAAAAAAUGAUUAUGAUUACCAAAACAGCAAUCUCAAAUAUUAAAUAAUCUAAAUGAAGCAAUCUGUAUAAUUAUGGGUGGCAGCCCAAGGGAAAAUGCCUAGCAUGGGUCGAUCCUAAUUGGUAUAUAAGGGUGGCAGCUCAUGGGUGAAACCGUAGCAUGGGCCGAUCCCAAUUUGUGGAAUUAUGACGACCACAUCCCAGGGGUUAAAAUGCCUAGCAUGGGUCAUCCUCUUCUACCACUGAUCAGCUGGUAUUUCGUAUCACAUGCCUUAUAAAGAUCAUAACACAUAGAAAGGUAAAGACAAGAAUGUGACAUCUAUGAUCCCACAAGACUUAACAAAGGUAGUCUUCUGUUUUGAUUUAUGCACACAUAUAUUGAUACUUGGUUUCAUUCGAACUCUUAUUUUAUAUAUGUUAUUGCUUACAUACUUAGUACAUUUUUUCGUAUUGACGUCCCUCGCGGGGGACGCUGCAUUUCAUGUUGUAGGCAUAUGUACUCCAGCUAGUAGACCUCCUCAAUAAGAGCACACGACACUCAGUUACUUUUGGUGAGCUCCAGGUUGAUUCCGAGCUUUACUGAGUCCUUGGUACAUUUUGGUAUUGUAUCGUAGUUAAGGGUAAGGCGGGGUCUGUCCCGACCUACUCUAAGGUUUUCUAGCUUUUAAAAGCUUUGUAGACUAAUGUAUAUGGUUCAAGUGUGUCUUAAUAAGUUGUGGCGUUAACGACCAAGUCUUGUAUAUAAGUUUUGGGUCUACUUAUGUGGGUUCUCUCAGGCCUUUAGGGUAUCGGGUGCCUGUCCGUGUUAAUGGGAUUUGAGGCAUGACAACCACAUUCCGACAUAACUAACUUGGAUCAAUUUUCACGUUCUGGCAUAAAAAUGGGAUCAGUUACCACGUUUCGGUAUACAUAUGGGAUCGAUUGCCACGUUCCGGCAUCCUAACUGUUUAGGUUUGGGUUCCGUGAGUAGACCAAUGAUUUGUGAUAAAUGUAUAUUGAUGAGAAUGUUGAUAUAUGUGCAUGUGAUUGUAAUGUUGUUUGACUUGUUUAUGUUGCACUAGUAAGAUAGUCGCGUGAUCCUACUAGUACAUUGUGGUUGGGUGCUGAUUCUGCACUUGCUCUAAUUUUUAUUGAGUACAGGGCAUCUUCACGUGACUACUGACAGACCUCGCUUAGAAGAUCAGUGAUUGUCGCUUCGAAUUCAAGGGUGAGCCAAUUCUUCCAGGCUGCCAUGGGAUUCUCUUUCGUCUAUGUCUAUCAUUUCCGAACUUAGAUAUUUGUUCUAAUUAGUUGAUUAGUUCAUCAGUUGGGGAUUUAUCGCUUCUUGUUUAGACUUGGAUCAUUUGUUUAGAUGUUUUGGUACAUUGACUUUCAGGUUCUAGGUAUUUAAUUUCCGCAUUUGUUAGUUAAUUAACUUGCUUCCAUAACUUAAUUGUCUUAGUAUUGUUUAAGUUGCUUAGUUUGGUUGUAGUAGUGGUUCUCCUACCGGAUGGUUAGUGUGGGUGCCAAUCACGACUGUCUGGGUCGUGACAAAGUUGGUAUCAGAGCCUAGGUUCAUUGAUCUCAAUGUACCGAAACGAGUCUAAUAGAGUCUUGCGGAACGAUACAUGGAUGCCUUUACUUUUAUUCUAGUGGCUACAGGACUUUAGGAAAUCUUUUUUUUUCCUCUUGUCUCCUUUCAUGUUAUGACUUGAUUCAAAUUGGUAUCUAACCUCCUUCACUCUUCUGCUCGCAGAUGGUUAAUACUAGGUAUAACAGUGUUAGGCUCGUAGCUCCUGCCAAUGCUUCAGCUGAUGAAUCUGUAGCAAAAGGUCGCGGUUGAGGUAGAGGAAGAGCUAGGGGCAAAGGCCGUGAAAGGGUAGCGCAUGCUAAAAAUGAGGUACAUGUUAAGAAUGUGCAUGUGAAUAAGGACCCUCAUACGCAUAAUGAGAAGAUAGAGGAGAAUGUGGAUGUCGAGGAUGUUCAAUAGAUUGGACAAGAGGAAGCGGUGCAGGAUGAAAAUGCAGGCGUUCCUCCUUUGGAUCCGGUGUUAGCUCAACAGAUCAUGUCCUUUUUGAAGGUGUUCGCUGGUCCUGGAGUGCUUCCAUCUGCCCAACCAACUCAAGCUCUCGCUAAUCCCCCUAUUGAUAGCACUGCCCCCAAGACAGGUGGAAUGGAAGGUAAUGAUGCUUUCUUCCGUCCUCUGUUGGGUUCUGUUAUGACUAGGAACGAGCAUGAUAUGUUGACUAAGUUUCUGAAGCUUAAGCCUCCGGUAUUUCUUGGUUUUGAGACUGAAGAUGCUUAUGAGUUUAUCUUAGACUGUUAUGAGAGGCCGCAUAAAUUGGGCAUUGUUCACCAACAUGGGGUUGAGUUCGUAUAUUUCCAACUUCAAGGUGAGGCCAAGCAGUGGUGGAGAGCUUAUAUGGAGUGCAGAUCCUCUACUUUACCUCCACUUACUUGGACCCAAUUUCAUAUUCUAUUUCUAGAAAAGUAUGUGCCCAGAACUUUGAGGGAUCGCAAGAAGGAUGAAUUUAUGGCUUUAGAGCAAUGUGGUAUGUCUGUGGCUGCUUAUGAGGCCAAGUUCCAUGUUUUAUCCAGUUAUGCUACGCAAUUGGUUACUACUGAAGAGGAGAGGAUCCAGUUGUUUAUUAGAGGUUUGAAUUCUGGUUGCAAGUAUUAACUGUUCAUAUGAAUUCUGCAGGAAGGAGUUUUAAUGAGGUGUAGACUAUGUUAAGAAAGUGGAGGGGGUGAGGCGAGACGGUCAAGCUAAGGCUUGGGCAAAAAGAACAAAGAAUUUCGAUAACUUUCAAGGCUCUUACUCUAAGGGGUCUGGAAGGCCAACACUUGCAGCCAAGCCAAUUCAGUCUGCUAUGCCCGCCUCUACAGGUAACUAUUCGGGAACCCCAUCUCAUAAUUUUUAGGAUAGUCAGAGUGUCGUUUCUUCGAUGGGCAGCAGACCAUUUUUUGAUCGUACCCAUCUCAUAAUUUUCAGGAUAGUCAGAGUGUCGUGCCUUCGACGGGCAGCAAACCAUCUUUUGAUCGUACUUGCUACAACUGUGGUGAACCUAGGCAUAUGAGGAGAGAUUGUCCCCAUCCACGUGUGUUAGAUUCCGCGCAACAGCAGUCUAGAGAAGUGGUACCCACGGGGAACGGUAAUAAUGGUAGAGGACGUCCACAAGGUGGGCGAGGAGGUAAUCAGCGAGGCCGUGGAGGUAGAGGAAAUGGUAAUGGUAAUGGAGGUAGGGGUAACGCGCAACCAGGCAGGGAAGUGACUGUUUACAUCCCUACUUUAUUCAAAUAGAGCGAAACGUCUUGUGAUUCAAAAAAUAAUCAAUUAAUUCAAUUUUAAAAGAAUUUUAAGAAUAAACGAAUUUUAAAUGAGUCGCCACCUAAUUUUAGGAAAAACUAGGAAACCAAUUAAAAAUGUCUACGAAACCAUUAGAUUCUAGGUAAGGGGUUCAAGUCAUUCUGAAGGAAAGGUGUUAGGCAGCUUUCAAAAUCCACAAUUGUGGGUCCCGACUAAAUUCAUUUUUUCAAAUUGAAAAGGAGAUAAAAAUAAAUAUACAAGUAUAAUAAACAAGUAAUUUACACAAAUAAUAAAAUAAACAAUAAUAAGAAACGACCUAAGCUUGCCUAGCGUCACUAAUAUACACAAUAAUAAAUAACAAUUAUAAUUCGAACUCCGUUUGAAUAGCUUUAAUGGGAAGCAACUCUGGGUACAUAUAAAGACACUUAGUAAAAGUGUUAGUACUAAAUAAAUAUGAAUAAAAAUAACCAAAUUAAAUAAUAACUAAAAAAUAAAAAUCCUUCUUAUUAACAUGGGAGGCCUUGGAAAGCGACGGUAAUUUCUUCAUCGGCCAAUUUUAACAUAGAAAAUAUAUAAACUUAAACUAAAUUUCCGUCUUUUAAUAUUGGGGAGGCCUCGAAAAUCGACGGAGAAAUUUUUUCAUUGGCUAAUUUAACAUUUACUACUAGAGAUCAAUUUAACAAAGAACCAAAAGAAACAAAAAAUAAUAAUUAAGAUAACAAAUAGUCUAAAUUGAUCCUAAAUGUGGUUCUAACAUUUUUAACAAAAGUUUUGCAAAUAUUUUCUAUUAAAUUAACGACAAAUUACAGUGAGCAAAGAGCAUGGACAUUCAUCAACAAUAAUAUAUUAAAAUAAUGAAGAUUCGAAGCAACAUUGAUAGCCACCAAAUGUAGGCAGCAACAAACAAAACUUAUAUAUCCACCGUAACAAAUAAUAAUAAUAAUAAUAAAAACGAUAAAAAGUAAUAAUAACUAAACAAUAAUAACAAUCAUAAUAAUAGAAUAAUAAUAAAAAGCAACAACAGUAAUAUAUACCAUUUAACAAAUAGUAAACUUUAACAUACGAUACAUUUAUCAAAUAAAACAAAACGAAACACAUAAGUGUACUCAUCCAAACAACAUAACAACAUAACAACAAUAAAAUUAGUCUAAUAAAAAAUAGAAUAUCAAAGGUGGUGAUUCCAUCAAAAAUCCAAAAUUUCUCGAAAUUAUAAAAAAUGAAUAACAUGAACCAUAAGAACCACAGUAUCACAAAACAAACAUAGAAAUAAUAUAAAAAGGAAGCAACACAGUCAUUAAAAAAAAAUAAAAAAAAAUACUAUAGCAUCCUAAAACAAAACCAAACAAAUUUGUAAGAAAUUAGAACUAAAAUAGGAAACAAUAGUGAUAUUAUUGGAGUUCCAAACCUCCGUUGGCAAUCCUAUUUUCGGAUUUCACCGGAACGAAGCUAUUGUUGUCAUUGUUGGUUGGAGUUUAUUGGAACUUGAAGCUCUAGUUCUCCGGAAUGUGCAGAUUUGAACACCUACAAAACAAACAAAAUAUCGCAAAAGGAGAAAGGGGAAGGGACUAGCGAUGUCUUGAGCCUGCUUUGCUCUGGUUCAUUGGAGUUUGAAACUCCUCACCGAAGUUGCUACUGGUGAGUCACGAGUUUAGCUCGCUUGAACUUGGAAAAGAGGAGAAAUGAGGUUUUGUUCGGGUUCUGGGGUUUUAGCCGGAGAUCUGGUUGUGAGCUUCAAGCUCGAUGGCUUGUUGGUUUCAGGCAGGUAUUUGGAUGUUGCCGGAGUGGCGUCUGGCGGUCGUUUUAAUUUCUGGUGGGUUUUUCGCCAAAAAAGAUGAAAAACGAGUGGGGUUUUGGGUGGCGGCUAUGAGAGCAUAUAGGAGGAGAGAAAGUUUAGGUUCUUCCCUUUAGAAAAAGUUCCUCCUAACCUAAAUAUUUUCCACCACCUUUAUUUUUUAACCUAAUCAAACUUAUAUAGGAAAUAAUUUUACAAUGAGCUCAAAGUGUGGGCUUGAGAUUAUGACCCGAAAUUAUUGAUUAAAUAAAAUAUCUUUGUAUAUAAUUAUUAUUCUAAUUUAACAGUAUUUCUAGACUGUGCUAAAAACGUCAAAAUUGAUAUUAAUAAAAGUAAUUAAUAAAAUGAAUAUUAAAAAAUGUAAUGAGCGUAACUCAUGAUGUGUAAAACAAUGCAAUAUAACAGAAAUAAUUAUUUAAUUAAAAUGAACAAAUAUUUGAACGUAUUCAACCGGCUGUGACAAAAAGUAAUGUAAUUAAAAUUAACUGAUAAAAACUCUAAACUUUUGAUAAAUAAGGAUAAAUAUUGAUAAACUUAUUUAAAAUUAUAAAAAGUGUAUUUUGAACUAUUGAAUUAAUAAAAGUUAAAAGUUAAGAAUCUUGAAAAUGUUAGGCCAAAUUUUGGUGUCAACAGUGGCUCGUCAAGAUGAUAGAGCUCAAUGUUAUACUUUCCCUGGCAAAAAUGAGGCGAAGGCGUCCGAUACGGUGAUCACAGGUACUAUUCUUGUCUGUGACUGGAUGGCUAAUGUAUUAUUCAAUCCGGGUUCUACUUAUUCGUAUGUAUCUGUGAGAUUUGCCUCUAAUUUUGAGAUGAUUUGUGAUAUACUUGAUGCCCCAAUUCGUGUUUCUACCCCUGUUGGAGAGUCAAUCAUAGUCACCCAUGUCUAUCGUGCUUGUCCUAUUGUGUUUAUGGGUUUUCAGACUUGGGCUGAUUUGGUGAUUUUGGAUAUGAUUGACUUUGACAUAAUCUUAGGCAGGACUUGGUUGUCCCCCUAUUACGCUGUGCUUAAUUGUAAUACUAAGUCUGUAACUCUAGAAAUUCUGGGAAGGGAAAAAUUAGAGUGGGAAGGGGUGUACAAGCCUAAGCAAGCUAAGAUUAUAUCCUCCAUUCGGGCUAGUAAAUUAGUAGAGCAGGGUUGUUUGGCUUAUUUGGCUCAUGUUAGGGAUGUUGAGAUUGAGGCUCCAUCCAUUGGGUCUAUUCCUAUGGUGUCUAAAUUUAGUGAAGUGUUUCCUAAUGACUUGCCUGGUAUGCCUCCGAAUAGAGAUAUAUUUUUGCAUUGAUUUGGAGCCUGGUACUCGCCCCAUUUCUAUCCCUCCAUAUUGUAUGGCUCUGACAGAAUUAAGAGAGCUUAAGGCUCAAAUCCAAGAGCUCCUUGAUAAGGGAUUUAUUCGCCCUAGUGCUUCCCCAUGGGGUGCUCUAAUUUUGUUUGUUAAGAAGAAGGAUGGUAGUAUGAGAAUGUGUAUAGACUACCGGUAGUUAAAUAGGGUCAUUAUUCGGAAUAGGUACCCCUUGCCGAGAAUAGAUGAUCUUUUUGACCAAUUGCAAGGUGUAAUGGUAGAUCUUUCAAAAGAUUGAAUCGGUUAGGGAUUGGGUUAGGCCUGGCUCUGUGACGGAGGUUAGGAGUUUUGUGGGACUCGCUAGCUAUUAUCGUCAAUUUGUUAAGAAUUUUGCUUCAAUUGCUACUCACUUGACCAAUUUGACCAAAAAGAAGAUAUCAUUUGAAUGGACUGAAAAAUGUGAGGAGAGCUUUCAAAAGCUCAAGACUCUCUUGACCACCGCGCCCAUUCUAGCAUUACCGGUGGAAGGUAAGGACUUUAUAGUUUAUUAUGAUGCUUCUCAUUCUGGAUUGGGCGCUGUGUUAAUGCAGGAUAAGAAUGUUAUAGCCUAUGCGUCGGGUCAAUUGAAAGUGCAUGAGAGAAAUUAUCCAACCCAUGAUUUGGAGUUGGCGGCGAUAGUAUUUGCUCUUAAGAUCUGGCAGCAUUAUCUUUAUGGUGUUAAGUGCGAAGUGUUUACUGAUCAUCGUAGUUUGCAGCAUGUGUUCACUCAAAAGGAUCUGAAUUUGAGACAACGAAGAUGGAUGGAGUUACUCAAGGAUUAUGAUGUGAUCAUUCAAUACCAUCCGGGUAAGGCAAAUGUUGUGGCAGACGCUUUGAGUCGAAAGGCAGUAAGUAUGGGUAGCUUAGCUUACUUGAGUGUAGCCAAGCGACCCUUGGCCGAAGAAAUUCAGACCUUAGAGUCUAAGUUCAUGCAGUUGGGCAUCUCUGAAAGAGGCGGGGUGUUAGCUAGCAUUGAAGUUAAGGCCACAUUCAUUGAGGAGAUCAAGGCCAAACAAUUUGAGAAUUAAAAUUUAAACGUACUCAAAGAGAAAAUGGCGAAUGGUAAGGCACAAGAGACCACUCUUGAUGCGGAUGGUGUACUUAGUGUUAAGGGGAGAAUUUGUGUUCCUUGAGUUGAUGACUUGAUUAAAAAAUUAUUGGCGGAAUCUCAUGGUUUGCGAUAUUCUAUUCAUCCGGAUGUGACCAAGUUGUAUAGAGAUCAGAAAUGAAUUUAUUGGUGGGCGGGCAUGAAGAAAGACAUAGUGGAGUUUGUGGCUAAGUGUCAAAAUUAUCAACAAGUGAAAUAUGAACAUCAAAGGCCUGCAGGUUUACUUCAAAGAAUGUCAAUUCCGGAGUGAAAGUGGGAAAUAAUAGCUAUGGAUUUUGUGGUUGGUCUUCCCAAAACUUUGGGGAAGUUUGAUUCUAUUUAGGUAGUGUUUGAUAGAUUGACCAAGUCAGCCCAUUUUAUUCCGGUAAGAACAGAUUAUAAUGCUGAACAAUUGGUUAAGGUGUAUGUGAAAGAGACAAUGAGGUAGCAUUUUUUGUCCCUUUCUAUCAUCUCAGAUCGUGGUACCCAAUUCACUUCCAAGUUUUAGAGGAAAUUGCAUGAUGAGUUGGGCACACAACUCACUUUUAGUACAACCUUUCAUCCACAGACGGAUGGACAAUCUGAGAGGACUAUUCAAGUAUUGAAAGACAUGUUGAUGGCAUGUGUGAUUGAUUUUGGAGGGCAUUGGGAUAAAUUCAUACCUUUGUGUGAGUUCUCCUAUAAUAAUAGUUAUCACUCCAGCAUUGAUAUGGCACCAUUUGAGGCACUAUAUGAGGAGGAACCGAUUGCUAUUCUUGAUCGUGAUGUGCGUAAGUUGAGAACCAAGGAUAUUAAGUCUGUGAAAGUUCAAUGGAAGCAUCGUCCAGUUGAGGAAGCUACUUGGGAAAUUGAGAGGGACAUGCGAGACAAGUAUCCUCAAUUAUUCGUCGAAUCAAGUACUACUUCAUUCUUUCCUUAGCCUACUUUCCCAAAGUUUAGUCACUCGGGGACGAGUGAUGCGUAAAUUGGUAUCUAUUAUAACGACCGGGUUUCGUCGUUAUAGAAAUGCCAACGAGAGAAAAAUUGGGGCCAGAAAAACUUUUUUGUAGUACUUGAAUUUUCCCAACCUUUUUCAGAUUUGGACGAAAUUGGAUUCCUUGAGGUGUGGGGAAAUCUGGUAACAAUCGGGUGGAGUAGUUAUAGUUUUGGUUGCAUGAGUGGUUAGAUAACUUGUUAAGGAAUUCGUACAACUUUACGGAAUCAAAUUCGAGAGAGUAAAACUCCCGGAAUCGAUCUUAGCGUGAGGGGUAUUUUCUGAUCGUCGUGGGUUAGAGAUGUGUAGUGAAAUGGGAUUUUGGAAUUUCUUCAGUUGACUCUCUGGUUCCGUUUGUGCCGCUUUGGCGGGAGUCUGGCCGCUCUAGCGGGGCCACUACAGCGGGAUAUGGGGCGUUGUGUCAGGUACGACAAGACUUAAAAUCGUAGAAAGGAUGGAUAGUUUACUGGCUCGAAAAUGCCGCUCUGGUAGGACUUGAUGUUGCUCUGGCGCCGCCGCUACAGCGGGAUAAGGGCCGUUGUGGCGGGCCAAACGUGACUUAAUGUCGUUAAUAAACCCCUAAACAACCUUAUUUGGCACUUUUCGACUUUUAGAGCUAAGGAACGACCCCCAGGCGAUUUCUACUCAUUUUUCAUCAUUUUUGAGGCUAAAGGUAAGCUUUUCACUCCCCGAAUCAGUUUCUCGAUACGUAGAACGUAAUAGAAUGGGUGAAUAUUGAUGGGGGAAGGUUUGUUAUAGAUUCUAUGGUGGAAACAACCCUAGUUUGGAUGUUUGGGAUAAUGGGUUUGAUCUAGGGUUCAUAGAAUUGUUAUAAUUUUGGGUAAUUAGCGAUUGCUUGUUGAUUCCCAUGUUAUUGUGAUUGUUUGUAGAUCAAGAACAAGCAANNNNNNNNNNNNNNNNNNNNNNNNNNNGGGAAGGAUCAAGUUUCUUAGGGUUUCAAGCUUGUUUCGAGGUCGGUGAUGGUUGUGAUUCUAUGAUUGUGUGAUGGUUGUUUGUUCUUGCUUCAUUAUGAUACUUGUAUAUGUAUGAAUGUUGCAAUGUUGAUCACACUUGUUGUAAAUGAGAUAGAUGAAUAUUCUUGCCAUGAAAUCAUGAUGUAAAUGUAUGAUCUUGAUGAUGUACUUGUGAUUGUGAUUGUGGUGUGUGAAUGGGAUCGGUUGCCACAUUUCGGCAUAACUAACUUGGAUCGGUUGCCACGUUCCGACUUAAAAAUGGGAUCGGUUGCCACGUUCCGGCAUACAUAUGGGAUCGGUUGCCACGUUCUGACAUGCUAACUGUUUGGGUUUGGGUUCCGUGAGAGGACCAAUGAUUUGUGAUAAAUGUAUAUUGAUGAGCAUGUUGAUAUAUGUGCGUGUGAUUGUAAUGUUGUUUGACUUGUUUAUAGUGCACUAGUUGGAUAGCCGCGUGAUCCUACCAGUACACUGUGGUUGUGUAUUGAUUCUGCACUUGCUCUUAUUUUUGUUGAGUAUAGGGCAUCUUCACGUGACUACUGAUAGACCUCGCUUAGAAGAUUAGUGAUCGUCGCUUCGAAUUCAAGGGUGAGCCAAUUCUUCCAGGCUGCCAUGGGAUUCUCUUUCGUCUAUGUCCAUCAUUUCGGACUUAGAUAUUUGUUCUAGUUAGUUGAUUAGUUCAUCAGUUUGGGGGAUUUAUCCCUUCUUGUUUAGACUUGGAUCAGUUGUUUAGAUGUUUUGGUACAUUGACUUCAGGUCCUAGGUAUUUAAUUUCCGCAUUUGUUAGUUAAUUAACUUGCUUCCAUAGCUUAAUUGUCUUAGUACUGUUUUAGUUGCUUAGUUUGGUUGUAGUAGUGGUUCUCCCACCGGAUGGUUAGUGUGGGUGCCAAUUACAACGGUCUGGGUCGUGACAGAUAUGGGGGAGAGUUCAGACAACUCCCAGCCCCCAUAAACCAUGUAGCCACCAUGGAUAGAAAAGAGUCAUACUUUUUAGAUGAUUCUUUAGUAAUUUGUAGCAUAGACUAGUGGAUCCACUUAGUAGUCAGGUUCUAUACCCCUCGGCAAGGUAUAGGACGGCCCUGGCAGCGUGAGGCAAAAUGAUGUAUCAUCACAAUAACUCUUAAGUGAUGGUUGUCGGUUAGAGAAACUCCCACAACAGUAUUUUGUAUUUUUAUAUACAUUCCAAAGUUUAUAUUGUAUCUUUGCAUACACACAGAGUUGUUAUCCAAGAAUAAUGGUGUAUAACUGUCAAAAUAAAACGAAAACAAUAUUGUGUUAUGUUCAACUUUAAAUAUAUAUCUUUUAAAUGUAGAAUUUAACAUAUAUAUAUACAACCUAAUUUUCCGAUGAAGGGUGUCCAGUUGGACACCUUUGGAUGGUUGUAGCUACACCACUGCCCAUAACAACCAUUUCAGCCACAACUACCAACACCAUCAAUCACAAUCUUCAACCCAACCACAACCAUCACUACCUUUAAUCACAAAAAUCAAUAGUCAUUACCAUUAAUCAUUAUUUGUAAUCAUCAUCACCAAUCAUUAUUACAUCAACUAUGUAACACCUCGGAUUUGACAAAGGCUAGAAAGGGGUCAAGCAGGCAAAAAGUUGACUUCAUUUACUAUUUCUACAGAUAAUAUAUGUCAUAUGUAUAAGAUCAUAGUAUAUCCAUUAUUAAUUUAUAUUUAUAUAACGAUAAAAAAUAAUUAUAAUAAAAUAAGAAAUAUUUUCAUUUUUAUUUUUUUCUGAAUUGAAGUAUUUUUUUUAUUUUUUUUAAAGAUAACAUUCUGAAUUGAUUAUUAAUCACAACAGUAAAGUAAACUCAAGUAAUCAUGCAAUAAAGUAUCACUUAACUGGGAAGAGGAAACAACCUCUUCCAGUCAGGUGGCAAUAGUUCCAAAAAGGAGUUUGCAAAACCAUACUAAAGCUUAAAUUCUAAUCGAAUUCUAGUAAUUGCAUUUCAACAAGUUCUUUCACACAUAUUCAUCGUCAUCAAAGCUAAGUUAUCUGAAAACAUGAUAGAAUUGACAGAGACUUCAGGGUCUCUACACUCAGUUCUUUGAAGCUAGUUUUUCCUUUGCCUUCUGAAUCUUCAACACCUUUUUCACAUUUUUUUGUUCUUCAACCAAGAAAGCUCGGAUGAUUCUCUCCCUUACAGCACUUCCAGAUAGCACACCUCCAUAAGCGCGGUUCACAGUCCUGCAGUUUCUUGGCAAUCUGGAUCUCUUAUAUUCAGCAGGUCUCAAAUGUGGAAUCCCUUGGAUUCUCUUCCCAGUAACUGGACAUUUAGGGCCGCUGGCUCUCUUCU
Molecule: long non-coding RNA, 85028 nt
Filed under: Solanum tuberosum (potato)
Lineage: Eukaryota; Viridiplantae; Streptophyta; Magnoliopsida; Solanales; Solanaceae
Description: long non-coding RNA (STUB_LNC004945)
Source: RNAcentral